Molecule: long non-coding RNA, 46700 nt
Filed under: Citrus maxima (pomelo)
Lineage: Eukaryota; Viridiplantae; Streptophyta; Magnoliopsida; Sapindales; Rutaceae
Description: long non-coding RNA (CMAX_LNC001717)
Source: RNAcentral
AUGCAGGCAUUAUUCAAGAUAGGUAGGGGUGAACUUCCUCCAAUUCCUGACUCAGUAUCGAGGGAUGCCCGGGAUUUUAUUCUUAAAUGCUUACAAGUCAACCCUAAUGAUCGGCCUACUGCAGCUCAACUAAUGGAGCAUCCAUUUGUAAAGAGGCCGGUGCCAACUUCUUGGGGACUGCCUUCUCCUCAUCAUUUCAUCAUGCAGUCUUGAAAGCUUCUGAUUAUCCUCUGGCUUUCAUGUAUAGGUAGUCUAUCAUGACCCCAUUUAGGGCCUGUUUGGUAUUGUUGUAGGAUGGUUGUGGCUUCUAAGCCGAAUUGAAUUUCUCCCAUAGUUGUUUGAUGAAAAACUCAUAAUACAUACACUAAUUUUGUGAAAAUAUAAUUUAUGAAUCAUAUUAUUUAAACACAAUCAACUUCUAUAUCAUAAAUGCAUAUACAACACCAAAUAGACCCUUGGAUUAUUAAUUGCAUUUUGUACUUAGUGUUGAUGCUGAAAUCUGCUCGUCCUUGGACCGACCAGACUCGUUCACCAACGUUUAAGUUGUCAACUGCUGCAAGAACUGCUAAGGCUGGAAUUACCCUCCUUUCUCUCACUAGACCUGCGUUCACCAAAAUGGAUCAGAGACGCCGGUGGUUUUGCCGGCGUAAACCCUCCGAUGCCUAAGUUAGCACAAGGUGUUUACGGGAAAACGGUUAAAUUUAGAUUUAAGAAUGGCUUCUGAUUUUCUCAAAGUUUGUAGGAAAAUAGCCUGGUUUCAAUUUGGCAGAGUUUUUCUCUCUCUCAGUUUUUCUCCCCCUAUCUUCAUCGAUUUCUUCUUCUUUUAUAGCCGCCGUCCCCACGUUUCCGUUUGCCCUUCAUCCCCCCUUUUUCGGGUAGUGGUAGCCUCUCAUGGGGCUCUAACUGCUGCAUUAUGGGCAAACGUGGGACCUCGCGUCUCCCGCGAUGGUUCUGGGAAAGCGCAACUACCGUGAUUCUGUGAGAUCGUGUUUUCGCUUUUCGGGGGACGGGUACCGGCUCGGUGUGUGGCUCUGGUCAGUAUUCGUCUCUGAUCGGCUCAUGUUACCCCUGUUCUGCUCGUACCAUUUGGCUGAGGUGAUUCAUGCCGGGGUGGAAAUAGUAUCAUGGCCGACCUAGUGCUUUUAUUUGCUUAACACUUAGUUCCUUUUUGCAUUUAGCAGCAUCGACAUAAUGAAAAUAAUUGUUAAAUACAUUUAUAAAAUAUCCAUUUGGGUUUACAACUCCCACUCUCCAGCUUAUGGGGAGCGAGAAAUGGAGGAGCAAGAUUGUGAUGCGUCAAACGAACCCCAAUUCACAGAGUGAAGGAGUAUACAAGUGCCUCUAGAUGUUAUAAUGGAACUCCUUCCUAUCGAUAGCCGGCCAAACCUUGAGGGAUUCACAAUGGAUCCGGCUACGUUGCUUCUUAUACUAAUUUGCUUUAAGGUUAACCUGGCUACGUGUCCACAUGGUUAUUUUGUCAUUUGGUUCUAUUUCCUUUAGGAAUAAAUUCAAUGCUAGUGUUACUGUUGUUUAUUUUGCAUGUGCCUUUUGAUUGCAGGUAUGGGUAGGCCAGUUUCUAGUACUGUGGGUUAUGUUUGGUUGAAAAAAAUAAGAGGAGAGGAGGGAAAUAAAAAAAAGGAGAGAAUUGAGAAAAACAAAUGAAAGAAAAAGAAGGUUAGUUUCAAUUUCAUUAUUCUAUUUGAAUAAAUUAGCCUAAAUUGUAAUCCAAAAUUCAUGUAUUAAUAGUUCCCAUUUUCACAUGGAUUUAGAUAAAAUUAAACAACUUGUUAUACUCCAAAUUUGCUAUUAAUAUCAAAUUUUUACUCAAUGAAUUUUUUAAAACUUGUAUUUAAUUUAAGAUUAAUAUCAAAAUUUUAAUUCAACAAUUUAUUUUAACUAGUACGUAAUAUGAAAAAAAAAUUGAAUUAUUUCUUUGUAGUAAAAUUGACUAUUUUCCAUAAUUAGUAAUAUAAUUUUAAAAAUAAACUAAUUGAAUAAUUAUUGUAACUUUAUUAAAUUAUAUUUAACAUAGUUCUAUCUGACAUUAUACCAAACAAAAUGUAAUACUAUAUAAUUUAGUAUGGUCUAAUAUAAUUUGAUCCAAUUUAAUUCCAAAAAUUAAUCUUGUUCAAUCCGACGUUCUAAACUUAGCCUUCAUUCUUUCAAAUUUAAAUUAGGACACUAUGUUAGAUCUUUGGGACAAUUUUUUUUUCUUAAAUUACUACGAUCUAACACACAUGUCAUAAUUCAAUUGGCCAACACUAUCACAUCAGCAGAUGAUGUGGCCGUGUGGGCACUGGCACGACUUUUUUGUAUGUACACACAUUAUUAUCUAUUCAACACUCCAUUUUAGUACUGUUUUGAUUAUUUUGACUGUUUCGUGUGGAAGGGAAGAUGAACAAAGCUAAUAAUCCUCUCUUAAUCUUAAGUCUUAACAGCUGAAAAACAAAACAAAUUGAAAUGUUUUUCAACUCGGAAGAUUUCGAUGUGCUGCACCCAUGGAGAUCAGCACAACCUUCAGGGGAAGCCUUGAAACGAUGGAGAUCUGCCUGCGCUAUCGUCAAGAACCGCCAUAGAAGGUUCCAUUUGGUCACCAAUCUUUCCAACCAUGCCGAGGUCAUGGAUAACAAGCGCUAAAUAUAGGUUCUCUUUUACUCCCUACUUUCAUUCCUUUAUUAUUUUUCUUUGUUGAAACAGUUUUUGUUUUGAACAGAGUGCUAGUCAACUCUCAUAUUUUCUUUAACUAUAUAAUGAUAGGCUUACGAAUUAAGUUGGUGUGACUUUUAUCUUAAAUAGUGAUGAUUGUUUAUUAAGCCUUGUCACUUCUCAUUGGAAUAGUGAUUUCAUUGUGGUCAUGUAAUAGAAUCAACUCCUUUUUGUUAAAUUGUAUUAAUGUAGAGAGUCUUAGUACCUUAAGAAUUUAAAUGCAAUGUGAAUUGGAUCUGGAUUGAUAAAUGGUACAUUUUGACAUUGAACUUAUUAUUUCUAAGUCAGAGCUCUUUGUUAUGUUAUAGGAAAAAGUAAGAAUGUACUUUUUGUUCUUCUUAGCUCAAGACUCCAAGGUUGUUUUGUUCGCUAUUGAGGUGUUCUAACUUUUAAGAUACAGCUGUUGUGAAAAAAAUAAUAAUUAAGAAAUAAAAUCUACUAGUGUGUAGUAAAUAGAAAAUAUAAAUAAUAAUUUUGACAAAAUUAUAAAGGGAAAUUUACAACCGUCCACCUGUUUGUUUUCCAUUUUUCAAAAAUACACAAAUACUUUUUUUUUUUCAGUGCGCCACCUCAAGUUUGCUUUUUGUUGCAUUCGUCCACUUCCGUCUAAUUUCCGUUAGCGAAUUUAACGGAAUGACCUUUUUACCCCUCAAAAUUAUAAUUUAACCCAAAAUAAAUAGAAAUUGGAGAUAAAUUGGAUGGAUUUAAUUUUUUUCAAAGGUGGAUGCUAGAAAUUGGAGGAAAAUAAUGUUUGUUACUAAAUUUAGAAAAUUUGUAUUUAUUUUUUUGGAGGAAAAUAGUGUUUGUUGCUUGCUAGAUUUAGAAAAUUUGUAUUUAUUUUUUCUCUUUCAAAAAAAUAAAUACAAAAUUUUUAAAUUUAGCAAGCAACAAACACUAUUUUCCUCCAAUUUCUAGUAUACACCUUUGAAAAAAAUUAAAUCCAUCCAAUUUAUCUCCAAUUUUCAUUUAUUUUGGGUUAAAUUGUAAUUUUGAGGGAUAAAAAGGUCAUUUCGUUAACAUUCCGUUAAAUCCACUAACGGAAAUUAGACGGAAGUGGACGAAUGCAACAAAAAGCAAACUUCAGGUGGCGCGCUGAAAAAAAAAAGUGUUUGUGUAUUUUUGAAAAAGGCAAAACAAACAGGUGGACGAGUGUAAAUUUUCCAAUUAUAAAAUAUAUAAUAAAUUUUUCAUUAUACAAAUAAAAAAUCAUAUCAACAUAACUUUCAAGUUAUAGUAGUUACUGUUUGCUAAAUACUUUAAUAUUAUAUCUUUUUAAGAUACAAUUGUUCAAUCUCAAUCUCAAACGGAUCCUAAUAGUACAUCGAGAGAUAACAUCAAGAGAUAAUUAAAGAGAUGACCGAGGAGAGAGGGAAGACCAACGAAAAGGAAGGAUCUUGCCGAGCAUACCAUUACUUUAUGACUUCAAAAGAGUUUUAUAAGGAGAUUCUCACCUCUUCCUUUCUAUUUUUAUCACGAAGGACCUAUCAUCAAGGUGACAGUGACCAAGGCCGACUUAAAAGCAAAGGAGCUUGCUGAUGUUACAUGUUAUUUAUUUAUUAUUUUCUGAUGAAUUUGUAUCAUUGGAUAUAUUUGGUACCUAUGAUAGCAAGCCAAAAGUUAGCACCUACAUUUUUCAUCUACGAUAUUUUACAUAAGGUCCUCACCACCAAGCUGAUUUUGCCUCCUGCUAUUGCACAAAAAUUCUUGCAUCAAGAAACAAGAAUCUAUAGGUUACAGAUAUUAUACAUAGAAAAUGUUAAAAUUCUUUGAGGACCAGGAAACGCUGCAAAUACUUCAGGUUAAACACUGUUUUAUCUAUUGCAUGCAGGCGCACCGUAGGGAUGGCAAAAUCCGGGUCAUUUUCUUCUUUACGAAUUCGGAUUAAAAUCCGGUUUUUUUCAUCUGGGUCCGAAACGGGUUCAACCCGAAAAAUCCGGGUUUUCGGAUUCCGGGUUUUAAACUCGGAUCAAUGAAUCAGCUUCUAAAAUUCUAAAAAUAAAAUCUUAAUACAUUUCCAAUCAAUAACACAUCCGGAUUGUAAAUCAUCCAUAAACAAUACAAAUUUCUAAGGGGUUUUUAAUUAAAUACCCUUUAAUAGUUUCAAAUUAUUUAAAUACCCCCUCCCUUUUUAGUUUUCAUGGAUACCCUAACAAAUGUGAGCAAAGUCGGAAAUACCCUUAAUGAAUGCAUCAAAUUCACUCAAUGAAUUGUCUUCAUAUUUCUUUCCUCAUUUCUUUCACCCAAAUCUAUUUUUGCUGCCGAUUCUUUCAAAAUCUCUUAGAAUCUCUCAAAAUCUCUCAUAACUUCUUACACAAAUACAAUUAUGUAUUCAUUUAUUUAACACCCACUCUUUCUUUAAAGGUGCAUUGCUUAUUAAACAACCCAAUAAGGUAUGUUAAUGUUGUUGGGUUUUAAAUUUUUUAAUUUUUAGGAAAAUUUAGAAAUUUUCCUCACAUUACAAUGUUUUAUUUUCACCAUUUUUUCUUAUACGUAGAAAUAUAUGCAAUGUAGGUUGUUUAAUUAUUUUUUUCAGCAAUAUAACUUAUUUAUGGCGAAAAUGUUUCGAGUCGUGCAUUCUUUUGAUACCGUGUACGUCAUAUAGUUAGUCAUGUAGGUCGUGUAAGUAAUAUAGUCGUGUAAGUCGUGUAUGUAGGUCAUGUAAGAAAUAUAGUCGUGUAGGUCAUGUAAGAAAUAUAGUCGUGUAAGUCGUGUGAGUAAUAUAGUCGUGUAGGUCAUGUAGGUCGUGUAGUUACUUGUAUAUGAAAUUUAAUAUUAUUGUUUUUAUUGUAUCAUCAGAUAUGGUUUUGGUACGUGUGCCUAUUCUCUUCAAUGGUGAAUGGAUUGAGCAAAAUGACGAGUAUAAGUUCAAAGGUUCAAAGGCUAAAGGGAUAAUGAUACCACGAUCGACAACAUAUGCCGAAUUGGUGGAGAAGAUAGCUGAAGUUAUUGAUAUAGAUACUUCAGAAUUCGAAAUCACAAUGAAGUUCAAACUUAAGACAUCUGAUUGUAUGCCACCAGUUACAAUUCAAACCAAUGAUGAUGUGGAAUUUUUUUAGAUUCCAAUUUAAUUUCACUUCUUUUUUUAAUAAUUUUCGUUGACAUUUUCUGCACAGCAGCAAAUAUAAAUUCUUAGCACAAAUUAAGUCUUUAAAGAACUAAAUUAAUCUAAUGAUUAAUGGAAAAAUUCGUGUAAUUUUAAAGUCGCAAUUAAACAUAUUACAGCCAUUUAAAAAGUUUUUUUUUUUUUUUUAUCUUCAAAGUGCUUUCUUCCUCUGGCCAAGCAUACAAGCAUACAUGAGGAAUGCCUGCAUAUAAUUAAUCCAUGAAAUCAAUUAAGAAAAAAAAAUAUCAACUAGAGGAAAUUAAUGUAAUGUUAUACACAUAAGAACACCAUUCGCAGUGAUAAAAUAUUUCCACUCAUAACUAGACAUAUCAUGACUUACCAUGGCUUAUAAUUGGAAAUUAAGAAUCUCUCUAACUAAUGACAUUUCACAAGGUAAAGGUAUAUGCACCAUUCCAAUUUAUUGUGAGCCUAAUUAAACUAAAUGUAAUGUGUAGAUUCUAUUGACAAGAAACAAAAUGUGGAAUUGAAGGUCGUGUAAUUGUGUAAUACAAGAAGAUCGUGUAAUUGUAUAAUACAUGAAGGUCGUAUAAACAUGCAAUACAUGAAGGUCGUGUAAACGUGUAAUACAUGAAGGUCGUGUAAUCGUGCAAUACAUGAAGGUCGUGUAAUCGUGCAAUACAUGAAGGUCGUGUAAUACACAACCUUGAAUCUUACAUAACCUUACACGACCAAAUCUUGUGUUACAUAACAAAAUUAUAAUCAGCACAAUCCAUUAAUUUUUCACAAUUUGCAUGCAGCAAAACAACUAGAAAUUUGUUUUCGAACAUGUUAUGAGAGACCCACAACUAAUUAAUCUAUUUUUUCAAUAUAAAACCCUAACUUUUUAUUUUUUUCCCUUGAAUAUUAACAAGAAAACUAAUUACAUGGAAUUACUUGUCUCAACUAGUUACAUUCUGACAAUUUUGCAGUAAAUGAUAAACUCUCUCCGGCGAUUAUGUAGUGACGAACUAUGUUUCACUUUCUCAGUUGUGGCAGCUUCCCCUCAGGCUUAGUUUUCUCGUGUUGAAGUUCGAUUUACCAUGUAUGGAGAAUGAAUGUUUGUUUCGGUAAAGGUGAUGCCGGUGAGGGAAUUACAGUAUUUGUUUGAGUUUGAUAAUGGAGGGAAUUGCAGCAGAUGAGUGUUUGUUUGCUUCAGUAGAGAAGGGAGAGGUGUUGUCCGUUAAGUUGAAAUAUUUUAAAAUGAGGAUAGCUUAGUAAUUUCCUAUCAGUUUUUAAAGGGUAUCGAUGAAAAUUUUGGCAAAAACAGAUUUUAGGGUAUUGAGAUAAUUUUUGAAGUAUGGAGGUGUACCGGGCGCAAUUGGCACAAUUUCUAAGCAAUAACACAUCCAAUAAUAUAAAUCCAUAAAUGUCAAUAUUUCAAUUAAUAAAACAACCACAAAUAUUUCUCCAUCAUUUUCUAUGCAACUUGCAAACAGCGGGCUUGAUGUCUUGAAAGCGACGACCUUCUUGUCUUGCAUGAUGUCACAAAGCGAAAAUAAUUAGCACGUUAAUCCAAGGUAAAGCCCCUGUUUGUUUGCAAAGGAAAUGAAGGAAGAUCCAUGGAUUAGUUAAAGAUUAAUCCAGCCAUUUGGUCUCCUGCGGCCAAAUCGAAGAUGUAAACGAAUGGAGUUUAAGAGAGACAGAGAGCAGGGCAAACCGAAUGAAGGAGCGGCGUUGAGGUCGAAUUGCGAGCGAUCUGACAGAAGACGCAAGGUGUCGGCGACGGUGGCGAACCCGAGCUUGCGACAGCAGCAGCCUGGACCGAUGAUGAUGAAUAGGCACUUUUCCUGCAGCAGGCGACAGCUGCAACAUGAGGAAGAGGAAUAGAUAAAAUUAGGUUUUUUGUUGUUGUUUGUAUUUAUAUUAAUUAAUAAAUAUAAUUAAAAAAUAAUAUUAAAAUAAGAUAUCGGGUCCGAAUUUCGGAUAUACGGGUUAACUCAAAUUCAGAAUCGGACCCAAAUAUAUCCGGAUCACUAAAAUUCAUUCCGGAUACCGGACUUUUUACAUUCCGAUACGGGUUCAAACCGACCCGAAUUGUCCGGGUUCGUCCGGAUCCAGGUUAAACUGCCAUCCCUACGUGAUUGUGGAGAAAAAUUUACAUAGAUCAAUCCUAGAUAAUAGGUUAAUCAUUGAUGUUCUCUUAUUUAACAGAGCAGUGGGUUCUAUAAAUUUUUAAUAUUAAAUUUUGAGAGUUGUAAGUUGGAACCAACUUGUUGAGAUCGCUCAAUAGUACUCACUUGUGAUCCCGUAAUCGGACCUACUGAAGUGGUAGGACUAACUUAUCGAAGUCUUUUUGAAAUUGCCAUGUUCAUGUGGCAACCACGAAUCAACUGGCAAGCACCACCAAGUCAGCGGGUGAUCUGGUGGGAUUGGCACUACAGUAAUGGUAUUUAUCUCUGCCAACGUGUCGCCGCCAGAAGGGAAAGAAUAGGAGGAAUACCGACAAAUAUUCUAUCAUUUAUGUACAAACAAACACUUUAUUUAUUCGGGGUCGGGCUGUAAUGCAGCGCUGCAUGUCAUGCAGCUGCCUUUAUUAUUUUUUUAAUAAUGCGGAUGUAACCGGCCACCGAUACCCUCCUUUUAAUCGCUUAAAGCGGCAAAUGUUAAAAGAAACUAUCAUACAGCUCCCUCAUUUUAAGAAAUAUUAAGAUAAUCAAUUCAAAACUAGUAAAUUAUCAAAGACCCCCUCAACUUUACACCAAAAAAAUACUUCCUUUUUCUUUUGAUUCAUGGAAAAUAUAGUUAAUAUAUUUAACUUAUAUCCUAAAAGAAACAUAAUUAAAUAAAAUUAAUUGGACUAAUAUAUUUAAAUAAAAAUAAUUAUAUUAUUUUUGUUAAUAUUACAUUAUAAAUUUAAUGAUAUUUUGCUUUAAAAAAUGUAACUUAUGUACUAAUGAGAAUACUAUUUAAAUAUAAUAAAUGGAAAUAAUUAUAUAUUAAUUAAAAAAAAUUAAUUUAUUAAUUGCACUAUUUUUAAUAUUAUGUAAUAAAUGUAAUGAUAUUUUGCUUACAAAACUAUCAAAAUAAUUUUAUCAACUUUUAAUUACAUUAGAAUCCAAGUAUCUAAACAUAUAACGAAAUCGAUUUAUUUCCAGAUAUUUAGAAGAAAUCAAUUCCAGGAUCUCACGAUACACAUUCAGGGACUUAAAUCCCUACCUACUAAAAUGAGGACAAUAUUUAUCCAACUAUCAAAUAAUUAUCAUUCCAAACAUCGUAAUUACCCCUCAAAUGUUGUUGUUGUUAUUAUUAGUGGCCAAUAUUAGUAUGUUUUAUGUAUACCCUCUAAAAAAAAUAUUCAUAUAUUACAAAAAUAUAAAGCAUCUAAUAUUUGAUAUUUUUAAAUAAAACUCAUAAUCAAUCUCUUGUGCAAAUUAAUUCAUACUAUCUUAAGUGAGAUUAAUUAUUUUAUUUAAUCCUUUUUGCUAUAAUAAUUUUUUUGUUAAACAUUAAUCAAAUUCAUAAUGGUACAUAACAUGGAUAAUUACAAUUUGAAUGCAACUAAUAUUGAAUAAUGUUGUAUUAUGUUAUACUUAUAGUUAUAUAAUUUAAGCAUGACAGUUAUAUUUCUAAAUUAAAUUAAAUUAUUUGAGUAACAUUGCACUCACUAUAUGGGUACAUGAUUUGUCUACUAAAUGAUGUGCAAGUAUUAUAAAAUAUGUUCAAUCUUAAAUUUAUAUCUAUAUUUUUUUGAAAUUAAGUUAAUUUAUAUCACAACUAAAAAAAAUUAAAUUAUUUAAAAAUAUGAAAAAUAUAAAAUCAUUUACAUAGUAAGCAGUAUGUUUUACUAAAUUUACUUUUAAAACAUUUUAUGCCAUUGGGGAGAAAUAUAGUCUUUUAAAUUCAUUUUUAUUUAUACGUCUUAAGCUUGUUAUAAUCUUUGCCACAUGAAAUAUGUUUUCACUGUAAUUCUCGCUAAAUUUAAUUUAUAUACUUUUAUUCUAGUGGUAAAAGAAAUUGAAUUUGAAUAUAAUUUUUUCAAUUUAGUUUUUUUUAACUGAUUAAGCAUCAUGUUACUGUAUUACACAGAUAUUUACAACUGUUAUAACAGCAGAUUAUUACACUGAUAUUUACAAUUAGAUAUACAAAUUGAGACUUAUAUUAUUACAUUUUAAAUUCUAUGAAGUAAGUGCCCAAACAAAUAACCCUCACGGAGGAGGAGUGUCUCCACUCCACUUGUAUUUCGUAAGGGAGAAAAACUUUACAAAUAAUCUCCAUAUAAUUAUGUUUAAUUAAGGGAGUUUGAGUUUAUGGGGACUCGAACUAUUGCCUUCAUAGUCAUGUUUUACUUUAAUGGUGUGUUUACUUCAUGGAAUGGGGAAUGAGAAUGAAGGAAUAAGAAUGAAACCUAUGUUUACUUGGCAAAAUGUAAUUUGGGAAUGUGAAUAAAAUGUAUGGGUCCCACACAAUUUGGGAAUAAGGAAUGGGAAUCCCAUUCCUGGGGGUUGGGAAUGUGAAUGAAAUAAAUGUUUACUUUUGUAUUCCUCUAAUUUUUUCAUAUUUUCUAAAUUACCCUCAUUCAAAUCACAAUUGAUUUUAUUAUUUUAAUUUAUUAAAAAUUUUAUUAUUAUUUUAAAUGUCAUUAAUAAUAAUAAUAAUUAUUAUUAUUAAAUUUUAUUAACUUUAUUAUUUUAGUUAUUAUUAAUUAUUUUUAUUUUUAUUAUUAAUAUUAUCAUUAUUGAAAAUAAAAAUAAUGAUAAAAAUAAUAAUUAAUAAAAAUAAUUAAUUUAUCAUUAUUGUUAUUAUUAUUAAUAAAAAUAAUAAUAACAAUAAUUAAUAAUAACUAAAAUAAUAAAGUUAAUAAAAUUUAAUAGUAAUAAUAAUCUAAUUUUCAUUAUCUAGAUAUAAAAAUGAUAUUAAUUAAAAAAUAAUAAUAAAUGUUAAUAAUAAUAUUAAUAAAAAUAAUAUUAACAAUAAUUAAUAAUAAUUAAAAUAAUAAAGUUAAUAAAAUUUAAUAAUAAUAAUAAAUGUUAAUAAUGAUAAUAUUAAUAAAAAUAAUAAUAACAAUAAUUAAUAAUAACUAAAAUAAUAAAGUCAAUAAAAUUUAAUAAUAAUAAUAAUAAAUGUUAAUAAUGAUAAUAUUAAUAAAAAUAAUAAUAACAAUAAUUAAUAAUAACUAAAAUAAUAAAGUCAAUAAAAUUUAAUAAUAAUAAAUGUUAAUAAUAAUAUUAUUAUUAAAAAUAAUAUUAACAAUAAUUAAUAAUAACCAAAAUAAUAAAGUCAAUAAAAUUUAAUAGUAAUAUUAUUAUUAUUAUUAUUAUUAUUAUUAUUACUAUUAAAUUUUAUUGACUUUAUUAUUUUGGUUAUUAUUAAUUAUUGUUAAGAUUAUUUUUAAUAAUAAUAAUAGUAAUAAUAACAACAACAAUAAUGAUAAUAUUGUUAAUAAUGAUAAAUUAAUUAUUUUUAUUAAUUAUUAAUACUAUAAGUAUUUUGGUAAAUUGAUUUUCAUUCACAUUCCUCAUUCCCAUUUAUUUUGUCAAGUAAAUACAUCAAUGACAUUUCAGCACAUUCUCAUUCCCAUUUAUUUUUGCCGAGCAAACAUUAAAAUCGCAUUCCUAUUCCAACUCAUUCUCAUUCCCAGCCCAUUCCUAUUCUACCACAUUCUCAUUCCAUGACGUAAACGCACCAUAAGGUCAAUGGUUCACCACUGGGCUAAAGCCUAAGUGGCUAAUUUAGCUUAAUAACAACUAAAUUUACUCCCAUGGAUUCAAACAUCAACUAUUUUGUUUUUAAUUCAAAUGAUUUACAACUGCAUUAAUUAGUACCCACAACGUGAUUAUUAAUAUACUUACAAAGUAAUACAUCUCAUCUAUAUUAAAUCAUCAAUAUAUUUGUAGAAAAUUAAUUUUAUAUUAGCACAAAAGUUUAAAAUAUAUCUUUUUUAUGUAAAAUUUAUACAUAGAAAAAUUUUGGCAAGUAAAACUACCGCCUCAAUGAAAAUAUUAUUUACAAAUUACAAAAAUGAAUUUUUAGAUUUUGAAUGGUCACAACAAAUUUAUCCGUGGAAGUUUUGUCAUACAUCAUCACUCUUUUGUAACUUGCAAAAAUCAAUUGCAUAAUCAAAAUGUUAAUGAUAUCUUAAUAAUCUAAAAGAGUGCAAAAAUAGCGUAGGACAUAUGUACAUUCUUAUUAUAUUUAAUUAUAAAUCCCACAGGAUAUGAUACUAAUAAUAAUAACUGUAGUAAUAUCCAACAAGCACAAAGAAAAAAAAUAGAGAUGCUCAACUAAAAUAGAUUAACUAAGCUUUAAUCUUGUAAAUUAAAGUAUUUUUGUAACUUAACUUAUAUCAUCAUAGCUUUAGAAGCAUAGCAAUUGCAAUCCUUCUUACUUGUUAUUUAUUUAUUUACCGUUGACGUUAUGAAAAACUAAAGCAAUUAAUUUGAAAAGUAAAGAGAAAGAUGAAAAUAAAUGCAUAGAUUUAUUUUUAAUAUAAUUAAACGCUAUUAAUUAAAAUGAUUACAAUGAGAAUAGAUAUGUAUAAAAGUUAAAAGCUCAAGUAUACAUACAAUCAAAUUCAAAAGAUUGCAUGAAGUAAUGAAGAUGAAAAAAAAAAGGACUUAGAUUAUGGACUCAAAAUGUUGAAAAUGAUGAAGGGUUGCAAUAAAAAAAUUCUUAGUAUUAUGUGGUAAAUUGAUAUUUGUUAAAAUAGUAAGGGGUCAACCAUAAUUUGCCUUAUUGAUAUUAUUGUUAUUUUCAACAAGUAAUUUAUUAUUAGUAAAAAAAUGACCUGAAACAUGUACUGGUAGUGUUGGAAUAUAAUAAAAAUAAUAGGAACAUAAAAUCAUUAUCAGAGUUUAACAAGAGUUGAGGAGCAUAACUUAAAAGUUUGAAGAACUUAACAAAAAUCUGAUAAAGUUUAAUAAUAAGUCGAGAUCUAGAAAAUAAACUUGAAAUAUCUAAGUAAAAUGUUAGAAAUCAAUUAAAAGAGUUGGAAUACAGAACCAAAAAGUAGUGGGAACAAGAGUAGAAGAAGUUAACCUAAAAGUUGAAAUAACUUACCAUGAAUUUGAUAAAUUCAAACGCGAAGUAAGGAUCUGAAAAGUAAAUUUGACAUAUUUACCCAAAAUUUGAAAUUCAAUGAAAAGAGUAGAAAUAUUGAACAAAAAAGUGGUGAAAAAAUAAGUUGGAACAACUUAGCGAUAACUAGAUAAAGUCUAACAGGAUAUAGAGAUAUAAAAAAUAAACUUGAAAUGUUAACCUAAAAAUUUGAAAUUUACUAAGAAGAGUGGAAAUAUAGAACAAAUAACUGGUGGAAAAAUGAAUUGAAACAACUUACCAAGAAUUUGAUAAAUUUUAACGGAAGGUGGGGAUCUAAAAAUUAAACUUGAAAUUUCCAAACAAAAAGUGAGAAUUCAAUAAAAAGAGUAGGAAUAUAAAACCAAAAAGUGAUGGAAAAAAGAGUUGAAGAGGUUAACCUAAAAUUUGGAAAGAGUUACCAAGAAUAUGAUAAAUCCAACAAUAAUUAGGGAUCAAAAAAUAAACUUGAAACAUUCACGAAAAAUACUUAAAUUCAAUGAAAAGAGUAGAAAUGUAGAACAAAAAAAAUGGUGGAAACAAGAGUUGAGGAGUAUAACCUAAAAGUUCGAAGAACUUAAGAAGAAUAUGAUAAAGUUUAACAAUAAGUUGAGAUCUAUAAAAUGAACUUGAAAUAUUUAACCAAAAUAUUAGAAAUUAAUUAAAAGAAUUGGAAUACAAAAACAAAAAGUAGUGGGAACAAGAGUGGAAGAAGUUACCCAAAAGUUGAAAUAACUUAACAAGGAUUUGAUAAAUUCCAACGCGAAGUAGGGAUCUAAAAAGUAAAUUUGACAUAUUUACCCAAAAUUUGAAAUUCAAUAAAAAGAGCAGAAAUAUUGAACCACAAAGUGGUGGAAAAAUAAGUUGGAACAACUUAACGAUAACUAGAUAAAGUCUAACAGGAUAUAGAGAUAUAAAAAAUAAAUUUGAAAAAUCAACCUAAAAAUUUGGAAUUCAAUAAGAAGAGUGGAAAUAUAGAACGAAUAACCGGUAGAAAAAUGAAUUGAAACAACUUACUAAAAAUUUGAUAAAUUUUAAUUGAAAGUGGGAAUUUAGAAAUUUAACUUGAAAUUUCCAAAUAAAAUGUUGGAAUUCAAUAAAAAGAGUAGGAAUAUAAAACCAAAAAGUGGUGGAAAAAAGAGUUGAAGAGGUUAAUCUAAAAUUCGGAAAGAGUUACCAAGAAUAUGAUUAAUCCAACAAUAAUUAGGGAUCAAAAAAUAAACUUGAAACAUUCACGAAAAAUACUUAAAUUCAAUGAAAAGAGUAGAAAUAUAAAACAAAAAAAAUGGUGGAAACAAGAGUUGGGGAGCAUAACCUAAAAGUUCGAAGAACUUAACAAGAAUAUGAUAAAGUUUAACAAUAAGUUGAGAUCUAUAAAAUGAACUUGAAAUAUUUAACCAAAAUAUUAGAAAUCAAUUAAAAGAAUUGGAAUAAAGAACCAAAAAGUAGUGCAAACAAGAGUAGAAGAAGUUAACCCAAAAGUUGAAAUAACUUAACAAGAAUUUGAUAAAUUUUAACAGAAAAUAGAGAUCUAAAAAUUGAACUUGAAAUUUCUAAACAAAAUGUUGGAAUUUAAUAAAACGAGUAGGAAUAUAGAACCAAAAAGUGGUGGAAAAAUAAAUCGAAAUAAUUUACCAAAAACUAGAUAAAGUUUAACAAAUUGUAGAGAUAUAAAAAUAAACUUGAAAUAUCUAUCCAAAAAGAUGGAAGUUGAUGAAAAGAGUGGAAAUAUAGAACCAAAAGCUAGUGGGAAAAUGAGUUGAAACAACUUACAAAAAUUUAGAUAAAUCAUUACUAGAAAUAGGAAUUUGAAAAGUAAACUUGAAAUAUGCAUUAUAAAUAUUGGAAUGUGACAAAAUAAGUAGGAAUGUAAUCAUUUUGUGAUAUGUUUAUAUUUUUUGUACUAUUUUUAAAUUUUAAAUUAUUACAAUCUUUUUCCUUAUUUAAUUAAAAUUUUACUCUUUUUUUUUCCAAAUUUUUUCAUAAUUUUUUCACAUUAAAAAUAAAUAAAAAUAUAAUUUUUAUUAUAUUAUCCGGUUAAAAACCGGUUGUACCGGUUGCAUGCAUGUGCUGUAUGAGAUACAGCACUGCAUGGUAGGUUGACUCAUUUAUUCGACACUCCUGUUUUGACUGUUUCGUCUGACAGAGAAGCUGGAGAAGGAUAAUAAACCUCUCGCGCUCGGUCACUCUCAACUGAGCAUGUCUCUAUGUACGGACCCUUCAUCGCGCCUCGUCAAUAACAUGCCGAUUGCCAUGAGAAGAAAGCUACUACUCCCCUCAAUCUUAACAUAACAGCUGAAUAACAAAACAAAUUGAGAUGUUUUUCAAUUCAGAAGAUUUCAAUGUGCGGCCACGGAUACCUUUUCAACCGUCGGACGAAGCCUUGAAACGAUGGAGAUCUGCCUGUGCUAUGGACAAGAACCGCCGUGGAAGGUUCCGUAUGGUCGCCCGUCUCGCCAACCAGGCCGAGGCCAGGGUUCACACUUUCGAGAUACGGGUCCUAUUUUACUCGCUACUCUCAUUCCUUAUAUUAUUUUUCGUUGUUGAGACAGUCUUGUUUUGAACAGAGGGUUAGUUCAACUCUCAUAUUUUCUUUAAGUGUACAAUGAGGCUUACAAAGAUCAGAUAAUAUUUUUUUUUUAAUCCCGGAUGGUGUGACUUUUAUCUUAUAUGAUCAUUUGAUGAUUAGUUGUUAAGCCUUGUCACUUCUCACCCGAAUGUAGAGAGUUUCAGUACCUUGAAAAUUUAAAUGCUGUGUGAACUGGAUCUGGAUUGAUAAAUGGUACAUUUGGACAUUGAAUUUAUUAUUCCCAACUCAAGGCUCUCAGUUGUGUUACAGGAUAAAAAAAUUAUUUCACUUAGUGUUCGAAAAGCUGCGUCGCAGUUUAUUGAUGAUGUGCCAUCAAGUGAAUGCGCUGCGCCCCACGGUCCACAUUAUUUUCAAAAAGCUGCACUUGAUUUUACUAGAUCACUUGACGAUGCGCCGUUAAGUGAAUACCACGCCAAAGCUAGAAGAUUUCAAGAAUUUGUUGAUGACAUAGGAUCCACCAUCAAAGGCCAUAAUUUAAAGAUACCGAAACGUACAAAUGCAGUGUUUUCCCUCCGGGUAGGGAAUUUAUUAACUUAUCCUGUAUUGAAGGCAACAUCCUUUGGGGUCUGUCUUCUCAGUCAUCUUGUGUUCAAAGCAUUUUCAUCCGUGCGGAAUAUAUUUAGUAAUCUUUUGUUGGGGGUCGCAUUUGUAUGACAUAAAUUUCAAUAUUAUAUGUCAUUUUGUAAAUACAUUGUGACCCUUGCUGCCAAAGUUAGAAGAAUGCAAGAAUGUCUUAAUGAUGCAGAAUACGUUUCACAUGAUGAUGAUGAUUCUAAAGAUCAUCCAAUUAGCAUAAUUAUGGAACCGGUUUAUAAUGUCUCUCCGAAUGGGAAAUUUAGAAGAAAAAUAACGUCAUGGCAAAAGGGUGACCCUUUGGGAAGUGGGUCAUUUGGGUCUGUGUAUGAAGGCCUCACUGAGUAAGUGAAAUCUGUUCCUGUGUUAAUGUUCUUGGAACUUGUGAAAAGGAGUUUUAUUGUUCUGAUUGUAUUUCAAUAUCCAUUUGGUUACAUAGCCUUAUUGAUAUGUACCUGCUGAAGGUUUUUAAUAAGUUAAAAAGGAUGUACAAUGUUGGUUUAGAAGGAAGUUUCUAUGAACUUAUUGAAUACCUUGUCUGCUUUCUGAAUGAUAAUACAAGAAAAGUGAUAGACUUCAUGAUGAGACCUCAAUGGGAUUUUGGGUAUGCUACUUGUAAAUCUACUCAUCUUAUUUCUCAAGAUAGUCAUGCAAGAUGAAUUCAACUUCGUUUUUGAGGCAGAUAAAUUUGAUGAUGAGCUAGACUGGAUAUUCUUUUGCACAUUCCUACUUGAAACAAUUAACUUUUGCAACUAUUUUACCAUUUUCUUCUAAAUAUUUCUAAGGUUUUGAGGUGUAUUUUAUUUGUUUUGCAAUGAAAGCGGUUAGGAUUAUAUUUAUGUGGUCAGGCUUAAAAUGAUUAACUUGGCCUUGUUUACUAUCUUUGAUAUGCAUGUUUAUUUGCAAGCAUCCACGAGCAUGUACUUAUUUUUUCAGCAACUUCUCUCAUGCUUUCUGGUUUGUUUGCAGUGAUUCUUUUUUGCUGUGAAGGAGGUUUCUUUGCGGGAUGAAGGACCUCGGGGAAAGCAGAGCAUUCUUCAACUUGACCAGGUGGGAUGAUUAGUCUUGUCCUGCUGGAAGUCCAUUACAUAUUAUUCUGCAGUCUUUUUCUCUGCUUUAAACUACAAAUCAUGCAGUUGCAUAUUUUUUUUCUGCCUCUAAAUAGCUAUGUGACAAGAUCAUUUCUCUAAUAAUAUGUUUAUUGGCUCAGGAAAUUUCUCUUUGAGUCAGUUUGAACAUGACAACAUAGUUCAAUAUCUUGGCACAGACAAGGUAUGCGUCUAACCUCAGUGCUUGCAUUUUCGCCUUUCAUUUUCUCAUAGUAAUAUUUGUGAAGUGAGAUUCAGAACUGUGUGCUUGUAAUGACAUUUAUAGACCCCUAACACCUAUGAUUUUGCUGGAAUUUGAAGCAUUGUGUAUUAAUGCAUGUUAUUGACUUUAGCACUAUUUGAGUUUUUUUUUUCUCCUCUUUUAAGUGAAAUUAUACUGUCGUUGUCCUUAUCAUUAACAUAAUCGAUUGGAUUAAGUAGGCAUACUUGACAGGAAAUACUUUAGAAUCAAAGUUUUAUGCUACAAUUAAAUCGCCAGUAUUCCCAACUAUCCAUAUACCUGCGAGGAACUCUAUUAUUGCCAUCUUUAAUUUCUUCCUGCUACAUUUAGUUGUGCAAUUCAUUAUUAUCUGGCAUUCCAGUAUACAUAAACCUAUCUUAUUUGUUAAAGUACAGAAAGAACAAGGAACUUCCCACUAGUCCUAAAUUUGAAGAAAAAUGCAGCCCUGUUGCACACUUUGUGUGGCAUAUUAACUAAUUUUUUGAAUUUCUAUGAAAUUUGUCUCUGUUAUAUUGAAUUGUCCUUUUACAUCUGGUUGUUUAGGUGUGCUUAUUUCAUUUCUGGCUCUUUAAUUCUAAGUCACCAAAUGAUUCCAGGAUGAAAAUAGGCUUUAUAUAUUCCUUGAGCUUGUAACGAAGGGUUCACUUGCAAAUCUUUAUCAAAAGUACCACUUGAGUGAUUCUCAAGUCUCUUCAUACACAAGGCAGAUCCUGAAUGGCUUAACAUAUCUUCAUGAGCGGAAUGUGGUUCACAGGUGAUAUAAUUGGUUUGGCUGCUAUAUUCCCAGUUCCUUCUCCUUAUCAUGAUGUGUCCUCUCAAUAUUCUACAUUUUAUGUCAAGAUGUCUCAAUGCAAAUAGAUGUAGCAUUGAUGAUUGUUUAUGCAGAUAGGAAGUCAGUUCUUUCUCUUGCUGUUUGUUUGCAAUAUGUGAUUAUUUAUACAUUCAUUUUCUUUCCAAAAGUGCAGCUUUUUGGAGCUCAAUCUUUAAAACUAGUCUAGAAAUAUGCAUAUUGUUAAGCGUUUCUAUUGCUGAUACUUCAUAUAAAAUUUCCUGAUGGUAUUAGAAAUAAGAUGUUGCAGAGGAAAGAUUGAGAAAAUUGAUAGAAACAAAGAGAAAAAAAACGUAUAAGAGCAUAGAAAUAACACAAUAGCGUUUAAGGUGGUAGGAUGUUCUGUAAACAGCUAACCACGUUGAAUAUGCAUUUUGAAGAAAUAAUUGCAAUCAUAACCAUUUGCAGAUAGUUUUAAUCCCCCACAAGGAAAAUUACAUUCUCAGUUGCUGCAAAUCAUGGAUAUUGGUUUCAUUCAAGGUUAAACAGAAGAUAGCAAUAACGGAGGUUGUUAUUUGGAAUUGAGGGAAAGUUUGCUUAACUGAUAGCAUCUUGCAAGUGUUAAUCAUAACUUAGCAGCUGCAGAGUUUCAACAGAAUAAUAAUGUGGUAUCUUCUUAGUGCAUGUACUGGGGAUGAAUUUAUAGACAAGGCAAAUCUCAGCUGAUGAGAGUAAGAAAUUCUUCUCUCAGCAAAAUGUUAUAAAAAUGCUCAUUCAGAUAGCUCACUGAUUGUUUACAGACUCAUGAAAAUUGUUAAAAAGCGUGUGGAGAUGAAUGAAUUUUUUUUUAAAGAGAAAAAUUGAAAUUCAUUUCCAGACCAGGUACAUCGCUGGUCUAUCUUCUGGGCUAAUAUAAUUGUGGCAGGUGAACUUAGCAAUGACACUUGAAAGUUGCUUUUGUUAUACUAUUUUAAGUAUAUCUCUUUUAAAAUUUGUCUCUUUUCAUUUUCAAGGGAGAUAAAAUGUGCAAAUAUAUUGGUACAUGCUAGUGGAUUAGUAAAACUUGCGGAUUUUGGGUUGGCAAAGGUAGUUAAUCUCUCCCCUUCUUUGUAAAACUCGUGAAUGCUACUGUACUUGAUGCAAUAUAUUUGAGCUUUUCAGGAAACUACAACGAAUGAUGUCAAAUCGUUCAAAGGAACACCAUUCUGGGUGGCCCCCGAGGUUUUCCUCUACUCUUGUAGUCUGAUUUAUAUGGACAAAAUUUUAUCUAUUUUCUCAAUGUCCAUCAUUUAUAACCGAAUUUGCAUGGUCUCAAGGUUUAACUGAUCUACUUGUUUAUAACCAUUGAUCUUUUGAUCAUUUUCAAAUUUGAUAGCUCUGAGACACAAAAUCUGAUUUUUCUUUUUACACAGCUCAAGUGCAACUUUUUAGCUUGACAUGUUUGGCAGAGUCUUUAGGAGGUUAAUUUUUGAAUUUGACACUACUAUGUUUCUGUUAUUUUCCUUUUUUCAUUUUUCCAUAGCUUGGGUUUUGUAUGGCUUUAAAGAUUGUAAAUCAGAUCCUCUACCUUCUUCCAUUUGAGUUUGGAAACAUUUUCUGCUCACUGUCAUUUGAAGUUGAUGAGAAGAAACCUCUCUUUAUUUUAGGUGUAGAUAAUUCUAGUUAUAUAGUUGGUAUUGGUACACAUUUAUCAAAAUAUUACCCAGUACUCACACCAAAAACCUGGAAACUGACUCUUAGUAACUGGUAAUCAUCUUUUCAUAUAUCAAAUUGACAAGUACCAAAUAUGUUUCUAUUAGACAUUCCAGGUUAACAAAAUUAGUUUUGCAUUUUAGGUUGUGAAUUUAAAGAACAAUGGCUAUGGACUAUAUGCAGAUAUAUGGAGCCUUGGGUGUACUGUGUUGGAGAUGUUAACGCGCCAGCCUCCAUACUCUCACUUGGAAGAUGUAAGUAAAAAAAUUUCAUGCAUUAAAAUUGGUUUGCUUUCCCUAAUUCUCCAUGUUUUAUUUUAUAUGCUUAUUUUUUCUUGUUAAACAUCUUGUGAUUUGAAAAAGGUUGUGUAGUUUUGUGUGUUGGCAGAUGCAAGCAUUAUUCAGAAUCGGCAGGGGUAAACUUCCUUCAGUUCCCAACUCAUUAUCGAGAGAUGCCUGGGAUUUUACUCUUAAAUGCUUACAAGUUAACCCAAAUGAUCGGCCUACUGCAGCUCAACUAAUGGAGCAUCCGUUUGUAAAGAGGCUGCUGCAAACUUCUAGGUGACUUCCUUCUCCUCAUUAUAACAUCAUGCAGUCUUGAAAGUUUCUGAUCAUCCUUUGGGGUUUAUGUAUAUCUUAGAGGUAGUCUAGCGGUAUCAUCAAAUUUAAACUGCAACCUGUGUUUGUAGGUUUGACUUCCCGUUUGGGUUUAAUAUCAUGGACAUACUGAAAAUAAUUGUUAAAUGCAUUUAUAAAAUAUCCAUUUGGGCUCGCAACUUCACUUGCAAGCUUAUGGGGAACUGAGGAAUGGAGGAGCAAAAUUGUGAUGCAUCCAACGGCUGCCUUGGUGAUCCAAAUUCACUGUAUGAAGGGAAUAUACAAGUGCCUCUAGAUGUUUUAAUUCAACUCUUUCCUGCUGAUAACGGGGCAAACCUUGAGAUAUUCACAUUAGAUCUGGCUGCUUUGCUCUUUAUACCAAUUUGCUUUGAGGUUAACGUGCUUGUCAACAUGGUUAUUGUGUCAUCUGAUUCUAUAUCCAUUAGGAAUAAUUUUUUUUUUUUUUUUUUUAUUGUUUGUGUUGCUCUUCUUUAUUUUGCAUGUGCUCUUUGUUCAAAGGCGUGGCCAAGCGAAUUGCUAAUACUUUCAAGAGCUUUGAGAUGAGGCACAUGUGGUGUUAAUACAAUGCUAAGCAUCUUUUUGCCGUUAAAUCGACCUGCCAGGCAAUUCUUGGCACUGAAAACAGAGACGGUGCAUUCUUGGUGAAUAUGCACAAGGCACAACUGCUCAUGAUGCAAAAUCUGAGAAACUGAGAUGGUGCACACAUUCUUUCAUCGCUCAUCAACCUCCUAAAGACAGACCAGUGGCAUUUAAAUUGCUAGGUUUCCUUCCUUUCUUGUGGGCUAGGUUUUUUCUGUUACGAUUUUCUUUUCUUUGGCAGAGUGUUUGACAUCAAUUUGGUGUAAAUAACUCUUUUUCAAGAAGUAAAAAUCGGUACUUGUGAAAUUUAUAUGUUGCAUAUUAUGGACCGCUCAAAAGGUGAACUCUGCAAUGUAUGUUUAUGCAUACGCUGAGAGUUUGUUCAUAUGAAGAAACAGAUGAAGUAUAAAUAUGUUGUUAGAUGCUGAUAUUUUGUGGUCUUUUUGGCUUUUGGGAAUCAUAAAAUGGGUUGUUUAUGCAUACACUACUUCCAGCUGUGCCAAGAAGAAAACUGAAAUGCUGUUACCUUGGAAAUUUCUUCCGGACGAAGCAUUGUAAAUUUCAGUUUUAGCAGUAAGCAAUCCCUCUGCCUCUGCUAAGCCACUCAACCUAUUGUUUCAUUUUCUUUUUUAUUUAUUUUUUAAUUCUUUUUUUUCUUUUUUUAUUUACCGAAACGAGUAAUACUAUUUUUGCGCAUAAAAUUACAUGUAAAUUCGUACAAGAUCACCCAAGACAAACACAAGAUAUAGAAGAUACUAGAAGAUAAAUUUACUCAGGUUAUUAAUUUUUGCUUUAAAAAAAUUAUUCAUGGCUGUAUGUCGCCGCCUCCCACUUUUCCUACACAUUCCUCAUUCUAUCUGUCACGUGUAACACAACAAACUUUUUACAGUUAUAAACCACUGUACAGUUAUAAAGCACGCAAGGACAAAGGAGAGUGUUGUUUUUUUUUUUAUUCCAAGCGAAAUGGAUAAAGAAAAGUCAGGAGUACGGGCACUUGUUUUGACAAUCAACAUCUCAACACUGUCUUACUCGGGAAUAUCCACGUUGUCCACCUGAAAAAGAUAAAUUAAAUAAAGAGAAACCUGUUUGUUGUAUUAUUGUCUGCAAAACGGUAAACAAAAAAAAAAAAAAAAAAACAGAGAGAAGAAUUUUUUUUUACAGCGCAAUGAGAAAACAAUUGAGCGAGUUAUUGAAUUCGAAGGACUUCGAUGAUGGUCCGAAAAUUGGGUCGGAGAAGACCUUGAGAAGAUGGAGAUCUGCCUGCAAUGGCCGCAGAAGCUUCCAUAAGCUCGCCGGUCCCGACGAUCGUCUCAAAUUACAGGUGAAUUAUUCCUUUAAUUUCUUUAUUUUUUUUUCAAUUAUUAGUUAACUUAUGAGUCAAGUUCAUUUGGGUUACCUUUAUUGAUUUAUUUAUUUAUUUAUUUUAAUUAUAUAAGUAAUUUUUGUAUUUACUUUUUUAGUUGUUUGUCUAAUUUCGUUGGGGUUAAUGCCUAAUGGGAAACUUUUAAAAUCAACACUCAAGAAUUUAAAUGCAGAGUGAAGGGUAAAGGUGAAUAGUACUAAAUGAUUGAACUUACGAUACCAAACUAAAGGCUUUCUGUGUGUUAUAGGAACAAUCUAGAGUUUAAUAUGUUGUCCAAAAGCUGUACUUCACUUUACUGAAAAUGUGAGUCUGCAGUCAAAUGAAGAUGUGCCAUCAAGUGAAUACAUUGUGAUUGAGGCUGAUACCGAAGCUAGAAGAUUUCAAGAACCCAUUGAUGAUGAUGGAUCCACAAUCAGUGGCCUUCAUGUAAUGAUAAUUCACACUGAAACUUUUGUUCCUCACUCGAAAUUCAAUUUAGAAUACCGAACUAAAUGUCGUCUCUUUGUGUUACAGAAACAAGUUAGGGUUUCAGUUGUCGUUCUAAAAGCUGUACUUCACUUUACAGAAAGUCCGAGUCUGCGUUCAAAUGAAGAUGUUCCAUCAAGUGAAUACGUUGUGACCGAGGCUGCCACCGAAGCCAGAAUAUUUCAAGAACCCGUUGAGGACGUUGGAUCCACCGUCAAUGGCCAUGAGGUAAUGAUAAUUUAUACUGAAACUUUUAUUCCUCAAUUCAAUUUUCAAAUAUCAAAAUAUGCUCUUUUGAUAUUUGAAAAUCUGAAAAUCGCUCAAGUAUCCGUUUUCCUGUUUGGAUUUGGAUACAUCGAGAUAAGAACAUUAAAGUUUUGCAUACAAUUGGCCUCCAAUUUCUGAGAUUAAAAAUUUUAACUUAAUGAACGACAAUACAAUCUCAUUGAUUGAUUUAUAACUGCAUUCUUUGUAUAUUACAGAUUUUUGAGCUACUUGGUGAAUAUGAGAAACGUGCACUUGCUGUGUUUUAUCUUGUGUUGGAAGCGACAUCAUUUUUACUGGAUAUAUUUGGGAAAAGUAAGAAGAGCAUCCUUCUUGCUGCAUUUCUAUUGUCAGCAUUUGGUUUUGCUAUUACUAUGAGUACGCAUGUGAGAAGAAACAUAGCUGCAACCAGAAUGCAUUUACAGAAGCGACUACUUAUGGUGUUGGAAAUAUCUUUCUCUUUGGUCCAGUUGAUUGUUACGCUUAUUUAUUUUAUUCUGGCGCAAUUGGGUGUAAAGAACAAUUUCAAUACAUCUGUUUUCCCGCUGGUCUUUGCUAUAAUUACUGCUGUGUUUACUUUCAAGUAUGAUGGGGAAGUUACUGAUUCAUCAGGCCCCGACAGUGCGCUUGUGGCCCUAGCUGCUGGUAGUCAGGUAUGAUUCUGAACACAGUUGUAAUCAUCAAGCUGCACUUGGUGAAUUCGCAUAACUUAUCACCUCUAUGACUAAUAAUUCCUACGAAUAUAAAGAAAACUGCAUGAGACUCUAAGCUUCUGCAGUAUUGUGGAAAGAAGGAAAUAUAAAGAUUGUGAGAUUGCAUUGUGUAAGUCAAUAAUUUAGUCAUAUGAGGUCUAUAAAAGAUUGAUUUAACAAUUUGUAUGUAUAAUGCUACGGUGUCUGUAGAUUUAGAAAUCCUCUAUGCAAUUAACGAUUAUUAUAGCAGUAUGGCCAAAUCAGUACAGAUACCAAAUCUUUGAUAGUUUGCAUCUUUUUAGGUUCAUAUGCCAAAUAUCACUCGCAAUGAGGAUCCAGAAGCAAACGGCAGCAUGCCUAUGUUGGCAGACUUCCGAUGAUUAAUGAAGAUGCUUUUGAGAAACGAGGUCCAUAUGCUUGUUCUUCACUCUGCCUUCAGGCUUGCUCUUUCUCUCACACUAUUUACACAAACUCUCUUUUCAGUACCAAAAGCUUUAUAUAUGUUAAUAGAUGAGUUUGUGAGUAAUGUUUCAGUGGCUUAUUUUAGGAGUCUCACAAUUUGAUUUUUGUUCCAUGGUUAGGGCCUAGAGGAGGCAUUUGCCCCCAUUUGUUCAUUCAUUUGAUUCAGAUUCAAGUUUUGGUCUUAGGUGUUACAAUUUCAAUUACUUUGUAUUCGAGUUGGAUAAAUACCUGUAAUUUGGAUUAUACCUACUCAAUAUAUAUGCAUUAUCUUCUCUGAGUAACUUUUUGUUUAUGGAGCUUGUUGAGGGUAUUAAAUGAUGGUGUUAGUAUUUUGGUGUCCAAGUCAUUUGAUGAAAUUCAUGAAACUUGUAUUAUGUCAAUUAGAAUAAAUGAAGCUGUUUUGAUUGGGUCACAGAAGAAACUUUUGAUGUGCCAACUAAUUAUUGAUCGGCAUGGUCAAUUGUCUUGGGAAAAAGGUACACUAUAUGAUAUGAAUCUUUUUAAAAAGUGAUUUUAUCAUUAUCAUUGUUAUUAUUAUUAUUAUUAUUUAACAUAAGGAUUUUAUUAUUGUUAUUAACUUUAAAGCAUUAAUAGUAGGGUAAUAAUAGACCCUUAGAUUUGUAUGUUUUAAUCAUAAUCAUCCAGCCUCCGGUGACCAAAUUCACUGCAGAAGUAGCUUUUGUUCCUGCUGCAUGGCGGGUUUUUUUACCAGAAGUUUUGCAUUUCCCCUCCAGAAACUAGUUCAAAUAAUCAAUUAACGUCACCAUGCAAUCAAUAGGACAUCCCACUAGCUAUGUUCAUGUUGCUAGUAGAUGUACAUUGGAUUAUUAUUUUCUUGUGGUUGAAGAUUCAUCUGAACCAAAUGGACCCAUGUGUAAUAAAAAUAAAUAGAUAAAUAACAAAAACGCAGAAGCACAAACAGAAAAUUUAAUAUUUUUCUGACAAAAUAAAGAGAUAGGUGGGGGCAGUGGAAGACUGACUUUUGAUGAUUCUUUGUCCGCCAUUAGAGAAUAACUGCAACCAAACCAUGUUUUUCACUUCAAUUAUUAUUAGUAUUAUCAAUAAUUAGGGCUUCUUUAUCAACAUCGACCUUUCACUCAAAUUCAACAGCCAAAGUUGCCAGCGGGUUGUGCUCGGCUGAUCAAAAGCAAGUAGUAUAUGCAGGGGAAUGUAAUCAUAGAUAACGCCUUGCACAGCCACGUUCUCUAUCAUUUUCUCAUUUACUUUUUAAAAAGUAAUUCAAUUUGAGGAUAGAACUCAAAUUAAUAAGGAAUUAUUAUCAAAUCGAAUAGAAUAACAACAAUAAUUUAGAUUAGCAGAGAGGUGUUAUAGGAUAAACAAUGCUUGUGAAGAAUCCAAUUUUAAAUAAAAGAAUUUCACAUAUUGUAUUUUAUCUUUUCUCUUUUUACUUUUUUUAAAAUUUAAAAUAACCCUUUUAAAUGUUUGUCAAUCAGUAAUAUAAUUUUUAAAAUAAUUAAAAUUUUUACUAAUAAAACUAACGUGCACCAUUGAUUAAAUCUAAUGGUAUAUAUUUAUUAUAUUAUUGAUUUUGUAAAAAAAAUUAUAGCAUUAUACAGGGACCACAAAACUAUCGUUUUCUACUGAAAAAUUUAAAAUUUAGUCAAAUAUGGUCAAUCCUAGAUUUCUAUCAUAAAUUUCUUGAUAGAAAUAAUUUCUAUCACCAUCCUAUUGUACAUUUAUGAUAGAAAAUAAUUUUAUCAUAAGUCUAUCAUUAAUCCUUGAUGGACAGUGAUUCUAUCACGAAUUCGACAUUAAUCCUUGAUAGACCUAUAAUUGUAUCACAAGUCCAUCAUAGUUUUAUGACAUAAGCCAUUUUGUUUAGAAUCUAUCAUAAAAUAUUUGUUAUCUAUUGCUAGUUUUCUUAUAGUUACAUAAACUUAUUUUACAUAAUUAUGUUCAAAAAGAAAGUUUAUGUGAUAUUUUAAAAAGGAUUUCUUUAUAAUACUGUAUGUAUUUUUACAGCAUUGAUAGCGGGAUUAAUGUGGACCAUUAGUUUUAAGUAUCUUAAUCUCAAUCGUCAAUUUAAUAUAAUGGAUAAUUAAAUAAUUAUUGAAAAUGUAGCAGGUAAUUUACAAGUUGCUGGAAAAUAUUUUUUUUAAUUUUAAAUUAAUAUUAAUUUGAAAAAAAAGCCAUACAAACCCAAAGUUUUGCUCAAAUAGCUGUACAUAUCCACUUAGUUUCAUAAAUGGUAAUAAAGACCCCUUGAUUUUCAUUAAUGACUAUUAUAUAUUUUGAUUUAAACAACCUAAGUAAAUAUAAAUAUAGUAAUAAGAUAAUAAUAAUAAUAAAUAUCAUAUGAUGCAAAUAAAAUAUUACAAUAAGUAUAAUUAAUAAAAUAACUUGUAUAAUGAAUUUUUUUAAUAUUAAGUUACUAUUAAUCUAUCCCGAUGGAUUUAUUAAAAUCUACUAAUUCAAAAAUUAACUUUAAGAUAGAUAUUAAUACAAAUAUAAUUAGAAAAGAUAUUGUAAAUAAAACACUAUAAAUUUUUAUAAAUUGAUGUGAGUGUUAGGUAUAACUAUUUCAAUAUUCUAUAUCAUACAUCAUACUUAAGAUGUUGAUUUUGUUGAAGUGUUAUGUUAUUAAACAUUAAGCUUUGCAUUUAUAAUGUGCUACAACUUUAAUGUAAAAUGUAAUUGAAAAAAUCAAAACAUUUUUUAGUAGUCAAUUGUAUUGUAAUAUGAUCAAAUUACGACAGAGUUAUCAUAUAUUUCAUUGUUGAAUAUGCAUAUGAUUCUUAUUGAAUACAAAGGUGCAUCAUUAUGGAUAGCAUAGUUUCAUCAUCAUCAUCUUGCAUCCAUUUUAAAAAAAAUAGAAAUAUAGACCUAAAAGAAGCUAAUGGAGGAAGAUCAACGGUCCUGAAAAGUUGUUCCAUAAAUUUAAGCCUACGGUGAUACGUAUUUCUAGACUGAUACUCCAAGUAACUUAGGGCAUGUUUAGUAUCAUUUUGUAGUCCCUAUUUUAAUUUUAAUUUUAAUAGUACAUGUGUAAUAUAUGUUCGGCGAGCCUAAACCUUAAAUCAAAUUAUAAAAUGUAUUAAACAGAAUUUAUUUGAUAGUAAUAAAAAUAAAAACAUGUUAAACACAUUUUUUGUAAAUUACAAAACGAACUAUAAAAUAAUAUACUACACGUCCUCCAAAGCAUAGCGAAUAAAUUAUAUUUUACAAACACAUAUAAGACAUAUGUUAAGUUAGUAGAGUUGAUUUCUUGUAGUCAUUAAGACAUGAAUUGAUACCCCCCCCCCAACACACACACACACAUAUUGAGUAUUUCUAUCUACCCCUAUUUAUUAAUAGAAGGGAAAUUAAAAUCGUAAAUACCUCGAUAUAUUAUGAAUUGAUAUGUUGCAUACAAAUAUCAGUGAAAAUUAAUUUUUAGAUUAAUGAAGUAAACCAUAUAUAGGCAUUUAAUUAAUCUAAGGUCAAAUGAAAUAUAUCACAUGACAUUUCAUGAAGUAGUCCAGUUUUUAAAACUUGCAUAUAGUUUUGUAAGUUAAUAAGCCAAUGAAAUAUACCACAUGAGAAAUUGAAGAGCUAUUAUUUAUAUUUCACUGUUGGACAAAUAUGGAUCUUCCAAUUCUUUUCCAUGGCCAUAAAUUAAAAUAAAAAAAUCACAUAGUAGAGACUACAUCCAUUCGCAUGCUCUCAAAAUAGAUUUUGAAAUUAGUUUUGCAAGCUUUCAAAAUAAAUUUUGAAAUUAGUUUGAUUACAUGAUAAUCAAAUUAUCUUAUAACAUUAAAGAUAUAAUUUAAGCACUAUUUUAGCAAUUGUGAGUUUUACAUUAAAUCUUCAAAUUAAUUACAUAUUGUCACUCUUUCUUAUUUUGCUUGAAAUUUUUAUUUAAUAAAAUUACGAAAAGUCGAUAAUGAAUGGUUUAACAUACAUAGGUAAGAUAAACUUUAAAAGUCUAAUGAAACAUUCCUAUGAAUGUGGGUUUCGUAUGCAUGUUCAUAUAUUUUAUUGAAUUUUGUGUUAUUAAACGAAAUAUGUUAUUCAAGUGAAAAUGUGAGAAUAUUCAAAACUAUAAGGGUGGUCAUUGAAAUUUUUCAUAAUUCUACCAAUUCAACGGUCCAACAUUUUUUUUAAAGAAUUCCGAACAGUUUAGCCACUUUAUGAACUGGUUAUGUUAUUUUAAAAAUAAUUAAUUUUUUUAUUAAUAAAUAUAAUGUGCACUAUUAAUUAAAUUUAAUAAUUAAUAUUACUUACACUAUUAAUACUGUAAAAAAAUUACAGUAUCAUAGAGGGAUCCUUUUAAAAAUAAUGAGGUCUCGGUCUAACCAUACCGUGAAACCAUGAAGAUGUCCACUAUCUAACUUUCCCUUGUUAUUUAUUGUGGAAUGAAAACUGACCGAAUGAAAGGGCAAAAGUAGUUAAUUUUCUGCAGGUAAAAGGGCAAAAAAGUACUUUUGUGCCAAUAUUAAUAAAAACAUUAAUGUAAGUGACGAAUAAAGUAAGGGAGGGAUUAUGUUUAUGUUGCGCGUGAACAAAGGGACAGCAGCGAGAAGCUGUAGGGGACUCUUCAGGCAAACAGCUCACUGGAAUUGGAUCUUACAUUUAUUUUUUAAAUUUAAUUAAAUGAAAAUGCGAGAAAGUGAAUGGCGUGCGCAUUACGCACCUACCCCAACUUUAUGGUCAUUUGAUACUCCACCACCAAUUAUUAGAUCAGAGCUAGCGUCAGUCCCUUUGGGAGCGGCUGACGCAGUCGCUGCUUCUAGGGGGGACAAGUGUUCUUUUUCUUCUUUUGUGCUUCAUUAAAUGAUGGAUUAUAGGAUCCACCUAUAUAUACCAAGUCAAUGAUGGAUUAUUGAAAUCUAUGUAUCAAAAGAAAGUUUUUUUUUAUUUAUAUACUCUUUCUGUAAAUUAUAGUUUUUCUACCAAAUUAUAUAAUUCAUCAUUAAAAUGGAAGAGAUAAAAUCACAUUUAUAUAGAGUUUUUAUCUAAUGAAAAUAUUUUAUUUUAAUAAAAUAAAAAUAUCACUAUAUGUAUUCAUUAGAACUGGAUAUUUAUUUUUUAAAAUUUAAUUAAUUGAAAAAGUGAGAAAGUUGAAGAAGCAUGGGCAUUAAACAGAAAAAGAGAGAGAGAGAAAGAGCGUGUAACAGAAAAAGAGACAGUAGUGGUCCGGUGACUCGUGUCGGCUUCGACCAAACAUUGACGAUGUAUUCAUUCACAUAUUUUUUCUUGCAAUUCAUAUUUUAAUAAAAAUAUUCAUUUACUUCCAUCUCAUUCCAUCUGCUCGAUCCACAGCCCUAAUUCAGCUCGCAGGUACCCUCUUGCUUUUCCUUUCCUAUGCUUCAGAUUUAGUUUCUUUUUAAAAUUUUCUAGUUCCUGCUUGGGUGCUGAGAAAAUGGAAGAAAAUGAUGGAUUUUUAGUGAAACCUUGUGCUGUUAUUAAUUUAUUCGAUUGCCCAUUACAUGUUUUUGCGUUUUGAGUAUAGAUAUGUUGUUAAUUAGUGAAACCAAGUCCUGGUUUUCACUCAACCGAAAAGUUUUUCUUUCUUUUUCUUUUUGGGUUUUUAUUAUUAGAUCCUAAAUAAUUUCUUGCUUUGUUCAUCUCAUGUGUUUGUGUUACUUUUAGUGAAUUGUUUUUGUUAAAUCACGAUCUGGGUUUUACCCUUUUUUUUAUGCAUUGAAAGUUGUGUACUUCUUUUGUUUUUUAGUAGCCUAUAUUUUGAUUAUAUUUAUAAACUUUUUUCAUGAAAAUUUGCCGUUUUUAUGCUAGAAAGUGAUGAAAAGCUUCAUUUGUGUCACUUUUUUUUUUUUCAGAGGUGCAUAGUUAUUUCCCUGACAAAUUGGCGUUAAAGGUUUAAAAGCCAGCUUUUUUUGGGCUCAUUAAAGGCUUAAAGCAGGGCUAUACUGACACAUUAAAGAGAGUAACUAGAGCCGUUGGUUAGAUAAAUCUGAACAACCUGUGACAAUAACAAGUCAUAGAAGUAAAUGCAGCAUUUUAAGGCAAUUUUAGUUGAUAGUUUUUGUUGCUGAGAAUCUUGUAGUGGGUUUGUUUUCAGUACAGCAUAGUCCCUUUUAACUUGGGGCUUUUGUUUGUAGGUUGAUCAAGUGACUCUUAAGGGUUUGUUGUGCUUCUGUUAUGUCAUUUGCGGCUGCGGCAGCGCCUUUGAAUCACGCCUCUGGAGGUCCCUGUACGUGUUUACUUCAAUAUUUGCGAUUUGUUGAUGAUUCAUUAGUGUCAAAUGAUGUACUGUUCAUUGGCAUCUUUAUGUAUUGGUUGUAUUACUUUCAAAUUAGAGAUGGAAUCUGACUGAGGCAAAUGGAUUACAGGGUUAAUGUUUGUUUGCACCUGAUAUAGUGUAUGACUUGCACCAUGGCUUAUGUAACUAUAAAUCUUCUGCAGUUUCUUAAUUGUUGCAGUUAAUUGUGUUUGGUUGUUCUCAAGAACAGUUCUUUGAUUCUGAGAGCAUGCUUUUAUCAUAAUUGUUUCAAUAUAGAAGCUAGAAGAUUCUUUUGGGUACACAGCACACAGUAUCAGAUGAUUCGCAUUUUUUUUUCUUAGAUAUGAAAGUUAUUAUUAUUCUUUUCGAACUUUUGAAUCCUAACCAGACCAAUAUUGUGUGACAGUGCGCUUUCUUAUGAAUUUACGGUUUUGAACUUUUGCUUUGAUUUUGAUCUGUACCCAAUUUCAUGAUGGCUGAUAAAUGAUAAUAAGGUAUAUUUAGGGAUGGCAAUUGUACCCGCAAACCCGCAAACCCGUCCAAAUCCAUCCGCCAAAACCCGCCCGUUGCGGGUAAUUUUAUCCGUUGCGGGCGGGUUUAGUAUUAUAAAUUAAAACCCGCACAUGGAUGCGGGUGGGUUUGGUAUUAACCUUAUACCCGAUGGAUACCCGCAUGGAUAUCCACCAAACCCGCAAUAAUUUUUUUCAAAUAUUUUUAAUUUAAUUUAAAUAUAAAAAUAUAUAAAGAAAAUAAUGUAAUUAAUCAAAUUACCAAAUAGCCAAAGGCUCAAAGUUGUGUAUGUGUGUAUAUGGCUCAUCUCUUAUUCUAAAGUUAUAACCUAAAGAAAACUAAAGGCAUUUCCCUUCGAAUUAGUAUUUGAAAAUAUUAAUCUUAAUUAUUAUUAUAGGCAUUGUGUUAGAUGGGUGCUUAUGGUGGUGAAUAAAAUAAAUAUAUUCUCUUUGAUCUUGUUUUAAAUGAUAAUAUGAAAUGUAAUUAUUAUUUUUAGAUAUUAAUUUGUCUUUUUUAAAUAGAUUUGUAUAGUUUAUACUUAAAUUUGAGAAUUUGUGUUGAAUUGAUGUGGAAAUUUUAAUUUUUCAUUUACAUUGUUUAAAUAUAAAAUUGAAUAUGUUAUAUGGAAUUUGAGGUUAUUAUUAUAAAUUUAUAUAUUAAAUAUUUGUGAUUUUAAAUACGGAAACCCGCAAAAAAUCCGCCGGAUACCAUUGCGGGUUUGGUAAUUGUUAAAACCCGCUGCGGGUGGGUUUUUUUUAAAAAAUUAAAACCCGCUGCGGGUUGCGGGUGGGUUUGGUAAUUUAAAUUUUGUGCGGGUUUGGGUUUGGUAAUGGCAAACCCGCUGCGGGCGGUGCCCAUUGCCAUCCCUAGGUAUAUUUUGUCGGGGACUGGGAUAGUAAUUUUGUCUUCAUGUCAUCGCAGUGUGUUGUAUUUUAUGAUCUCAUUGAUAUGUUUGGGCGGUUUGUGUUUUGCUCACUUUCUUCCUGUCCCAGCUUUAUUUUCUGCUUACUUUGUCCUUUGUGUUCACUUUAUAGGGGGAUCCAAUGAUGCACUGUACAGGAAAUUAUGGCAUGCCUGUGCUGGACAUCUUGCAACCCUUCCUUGUGAAGGGGAGCGAGUUUAUUACUUUCCGCAAGGUCACAUGGAACAGGUUUGUUGACCUUUAACUGGAAUCUGUCUCUGUUUGAGUGUUCUUUUAGUUUAUAUGAGUUUACUAUUAUAGAAUGACAAAUAUGAAUACCCUAUUAAAAAUUGCCAAACACAAAAAAAGGAAAAAAAAAAGAAAAGAAAAGAAAAGGAACAAAGUGUAGAAAACACCCAAAUUUUUUAACAGAAGAAUUUAAUGUGAACUUAUGCAUUCCCCUGUUUGAGAGUUGGUAAUUUAUGUUCCUCAGACAUGAUUUGCUUUAUUUCAGUAUUUUAUCAACUUCCUUGCUUCCAAUGCUUUAUUUCAUUGGUCUGGAAAAUAUCUAUCUAUCAUCAUUUGCAGGUUAAUAAAUUUUUUCUUUCAAUGUCAUAGGGACAAGAAAGUUUCAAUCAUAUUUUAACUGAUGCUAUUUUUGAAAUUUUCAGCUUGAAGCAUCGAUGCAUCAGGAGUUGGAGCAGCAAAUGCCCUCAUUUAAUCUGCCAUCUAAAAUUCUGUGUAAAGUGGUUAAUGUUCAGCGACGGGUGAGUAAUCUCAUGAUCAUUCUAUUAUUUUUUGGGGAGCAUGUCAGUGUUCUUAAGCUCUGUUAAAAAGUUGUUUCCAUUUCUAAGUCCUUACUUCGGUUGCUCUAUUUACUUUGACUGUAGGCUGAACCUGAAACGGAUGAAGUUUAUGCACAAAUAACUCUGUUGCCUGAACCUGAUGUGAGCUUUCUUCCUUUGGCUCUAAUCUUUUAAUUAGCUGAUUUAGAAACUACUAAAUUUGUUAGCUUGUUAUAGUUGCUUGCAAUUCUUACAGUUUUCUUUCUUUCAUGUCUGUCUGUGUUAAUUUCACCAGCAAAGCGAGGUUACCAGCCCAGAUCCCUCCCUCCCAGAGCCUGAAAAGUGCACCGUUCAUUCAUUCUGUAAGACAUUAACUGCAUCUGAUACGAGCGCCCAUUGCGUGUUCGCCAUUCUUCGUAGGCAUGCAGAUGAUUGUCUUCCCCCAUUGGUUAGCUUCAACCGUGAAUCCAUCAUUUUUGUGUCAGAUACUACAGGAUGAUAUGUUGUAUUUAUAACUUAUUUGACCUGCCUGUCUCCUUGAUCAUUUCAGGAUAUGUCCCAGCAGCCACCUAGGCAGGAACUAGUUGCAACUGAUCUGCACGGGAAAAAAUGGCGUUUUCUGCACAUUUCCCAAGGUUUGGCUUCAACUUCUCUGACUGGAUAUAACACUUUGUUGCUUAAGUUGAAGCAGAAACAUUGCUGCAGCAUGCUUUAUUUUUAAAGUUUGCCUGGUUCAUGUAUUUUGUUAAUUAUUGUAUCCAAUGUAUUAUAAAUUACACAUGGUUUCUGGAAAUUUGAGGAUUUUGAUACAAAGUCAAGGUUUCCUAUCACAGGUCAGCAUCACUUGCUCACCACUGGGUGGAGUGAGUUUGUUAGUUCCAAGAAAUUGGUAGCAGGCGAUGCAUUCAUAUUUCUGAGGCAAGUACUGGUAUAUCUAAUAUGAAACGAAGUAUGUUUUGUUUCGUUGCUUUAUUUCCUAUAUUUAUCGUUUUCGCUAUUGAUAACUGUUUCAGAGGGGAAAAUGAGGAGCUGCGUGUUGGGGUAAGGAGGCACAUGAGGCAGCAGACAAAUAUGCCAUCUUCAGUUACAUCUAGUCAUAGUAUGUAUCUUGGCGUACUUGCAAUUGCUUCUCAUGCCAUUGCAACUGGAACGCUCUUUUCAAUCUUGUACAAACCAAGGUAUUUUCCUUUGUGCAAUUUGAAGUUUGACAAGUGAAACAUUUCCAAUUUCUGAAUUGAGAGAUAGAGUAAAACUUAGGACUAAAUGCCCAAAGCUCAAUGUACAGGCAUGAAAAAAGUUUUUAAAGAUGUUGUGUUACAAACAUCGAAAUUUGCCAGUACUUCUAUAGUUUGGGCUUUUUUUAAAAAAAAAAUCCCUCUAUGUUCUAUCAUGCUAUGUAUUUUUCGAAUUAUCAUUAUUAAUAUUUUUCAAUAAAAUAUUUUUGACAUAAAAUAUAAUUAUGUGCCAGAACUAGCCGGUCUGAGUUCAUUGUAAGUGUUAACAAGUAUCUUGAAGCUAAAAAACACAAGCUUUCUGUUGGGAUGAGGUUCAAGAUGACAUUUGAGGAUGAGGAAGUUCCUGAACAAAGGUAACCUUCCUUUCUAAUUUAUUUUUGUAGAAGAGGAAGUUAAAUAACAUUUAUUAACCAAUUUUAUCAUUGUUCCACAGGUUCAGUGGUACUAUAGUAGGAGUUGGGGAUUGUAAAAGUUCAGUGUGGCCAGAUUCAGAGUGGAGAUCCUUAAAGGUUAGCAAGUUCUUUUCCUAUACACCAAGUUAGUUUUGAAUUCAUUCAAAGAAUUUACUAAGGUGGCCAUUCCAAUAUUCCACUCAGUUUUAUCCACACUUUUAUACUGAUCAAAUUAAAUAGUGGCUUUUAAAAUUACGAAUUUUUGAGAAGAUUAGGUGUUUGUUUCCUUUGUAACCGGUCAAAUAUUUCUGUGUUUUGAAUUUUGGCGGGGGAAACUCUGUGUGGCCUGGUUGACUUUAUCAUGUUUCAAUUUUAUGUUAGGUUCAAUGGGAUGAACCUUCAUCAAUCUUGCGACCAGAAAGAGUAUCAUCGUGGGAAUUGGAGCCACUUGUUGCAACUACAACUACUACAAAUGCUCAACCAGCACAAAGGAACAAACGGCCACGACCAUCUGUUUUACCAUUGCCAGCUGCAGAUAUCUCUGUCCUGGGUAUUAUAGCUUUAGAUAUGAUGCAUCUUCUUCUUAUUCUUCUUUACUUUAGUUGCUAAUCUUGUCUUUCUGCAUUUAUGUGGAAAUCUCACGUUGAAUCUUCAGCUUUCUCAUACUGUGACUCACCGCAAGGACGCGACCUCUAUGCAUCACCUAAGUUUUCCACUGCCACAAAGGGCAACCAUUUUGGUUUUAGUGGAAAUAACUCACUGGCUGCUGUUUCCAGCAACUCAAUGUACUGGCCUAACCGUGCAGAAAAUGUAACAGAAUCAUUUACUCCAGUUGUGAACAAAGAAUCCAGUGAAAAGAGACAGGGCAAUGGGAACACCUGCAGGCUAUUUGGCAUUCCGCACGUUGACAACUCGAAUGUAGAAGAAGCUUCACCUGCUUUUACCAUGUCUGGAGCAAUGGGGGAUGAUCGAGCAAUUCCAUGUUUAGAUGCAGACUCUGACCAGCAUUCUGAACCAUCAAAUAUUAAUCGAUCUGAUGUUCCUUCUGUAAGUAUGCAGAGAAAUCGUGCCUGAGAUCUCCUCAGGAGUCUCAAAGCAGGCAGAUUCGAAGUUGCACAAAGGCAAUAUGGUUGCUUUCUGUUUUAACUUUCCUUUCUUAACAAGCUAGCAUGCAUUAGAUAAGAUCUCAGAAAGGGCUUUAUUUUCCUUUUGAAAUUUUAGUUUUUGUCUGCCUGUCAGGCAUCCUCUCUGUCUAUGGAACCGGUUUAUAAUGUCUCUCCGAAUGGGAAAUUUAGAAGAAGAAUAAUGUCAUGGCAAAAGGGUGAGCUUUUGGGAAGUGGGUCAUUUGGGUCUGUGUAUGAAGGCCUCACUGAGUAAGUGAAAUCUGUUCCUGUAUUAAUGUUCUUGGAACUUGUGAAAAGGAGUUUUAUUGUUCUGAUUGUAUUUCAAUACCCAUUUGGUUACAUAGCCUUAUUGAUAUGUACCUGCCGAAGGUUUUUAAUAAGUUAAAAGGGUGUACAAUGUCGGAUUAGAAGGAAGUUUCUAGGAACUUAUUGAAUACUUUUUCUGCUUUCUGAACAAUACUACAGGAAAAAGUGAUAGACUUCAUGAUGAGACCUCAAUGGGGUUUUGAGUAUGCAACCUGAAAAUCUCCUCGUCUUAUUUCUCAAGAUAGUCAUGCAAGAUGAAUUCAAUUUCAUUUUUUGAGGCAGAUAAAUUUGGUGAUGAGCUAGAUUGGAUAUUCUUUUCAUAUUCUUACUUGAACAAUGAACUUUUGCAACUGUUUUACCAUUUUCUUCUAAAUAUUUCUAAGAUUUUGAGGUGUAUUUUAUUUGUUUUGCAAUGAAUCCAUAUUCUGAAAGUGGUUAGUUUUAUAUUUAUGUGGUCAGACUUAAAAAGAUUAACUUGGCCUUGUGUGCCAUCUUUGAUAUGCAUGUUUAUGUGCAAGCAUCCAUGAGCAUAGACCUAUUUUUUUUUUUUUUAGCAACUUCUCUCAUGCUUUCUGGUUUGUUUGCAGUGAUGGAUUCUUUUUUGCUGUGAAGGAGGUUUCUUUGCAGGAUCAAGGAGCUCAGGGAAAGCAGAGCAUUCUUCAACUUGAGCAGGUGGGAUGAUUAGUCUUGUCCUACUGGGACUCCAUUACAUGUUAUUCUGUAGUCUUUUUCUCUGCUUUAAAUUACAAAUCAUGCAGUUGCAUAUUUUUAUCCUGCCUCUAAAUAGCUACAUGGCAAGAUCAUUUCUCUAAUAAUAUGUUUAUUGGCUCAGGAAAUUUCUCUUUUGAGUCAGUUUGAACAAGACAACAUAGUUCAAUAUCUUGGCACAGACAAGGUAUGCGUCUAUCCUCCGUGCUUGCUUUUUUUUACCUUUCAUUUCCUCAUAGUAAUAUUUGUGAAGUGAGGGUUAGAACUGUGUGCUUGUAAUGACAUUUAUAGACCCCUAACACCUAUAAUUUCUGGAAUUUGAAGCACUGUGAAUUAAUGCAUGUUAUUGACCUUAGCACUAUUUGAAUUUUUUUUUCCUCUUUUAAGUGAAAUUAUACUGUCAUUGUCCUUAUCAUUAACAUAAUCAAUUGGAUUAAGUAGUCAUACUUGACAGGAAAUACUUCAGAAUCAAAGUUUUAUGCUACAAUUAAAUCGCCAGUAUUCCCAAACUAUCCAUAUACCCGUGGGGAACUUUAUUAUUGCCAGCUUUAAUUUCUUCCUGCUACAUUUAGUUGUGCAAUUCAUUAUUAUCUGGCAUUUCAGUAUAUAUAAACCUAUCUCAUUUGUUAAAGUACACAAAGAACAAGGAACUUCCCACUAGUCCUAAAUUUGAAGAAAUGUGCAGCCCUGUUGCACACUGUGUGUGGCAUAUUAACUAAUUUUUUGAAUUUCUAUGGAAUUUGUCUCUGUUGUAUUAAAUUAUCCUUUUAUAUCUGGUUGUUUAGGUGUGCUUAUUUCAUUUCUGGCUCUUUAAUUCUAAGUCACCAAAUGAUCUCAGGAUGAAAAUAGGCUUUAUAUCUUCCUUGAGCUUGUAACGAAGGGUUCACUUGCAAAUCUUUAUCAAAAGUACCACUUGAGUGAUUCUCAAGUCUCUUCAUACACAAGGCAGAUCCUGAAUGGCUUAGCAUAUCUUCAUGAGCGGAAUGUGGUUCACAGGUGAUAUAAUUGAUUUGGCUGCUAUAUUCUCAGUUCUUUUUCCUUAUCAUGUUGUGUCCUCUCAAUAUUCCACAUUUUAUGUCAAGAUGUCUCAGUGCAAAUAGAUGUAGCAUUCAUGAUUGUUUAUGCAGAUAGGAAAUCAGUUCUUUCUCUUGCUGUUUGUUUGCAAUAUGUGAUUAUUUAUACCAUUCGUUUUCUUUCCAAAAAUGCAGCUUUUUGGAGCUCAAUCUUUAAAACUAGUCUGGAAACAUGCAUAUUGUUAAGCAUUUCUAUUGUUGAUACUUUGUAAAUAAUUUCCUGAUGGUAUUAGAAAUAAGAUGUUGCAGAGUAAAGGUUGAGAAAAUUGGUAGAAACAAAGAGAAAAAGGUAUAAGCAUACAGAAAUAACAAAAGAGCAUUUAAAGUAGUAGGAUGUUUUGUAAACAGCUAACCAUGUUGAAUAUGCAUUUUGAAGAAAUAAUUGCAAUCAUAACCAUUUGCAGAUAGUUUUAAUCCCUCACAAGGAAAAUUACAUUCUCAGUUGCUGCAAAUCAUGGAUAUUGGUUUCAUUCAAGGUUAAACAGAAGAUAGCACUAACGGAGGUUGUUAUUUGUAAUUGAGGGAAAGUUUGCUUAACUGUUAUCAUCUUGCAAGUGUUAAUCAUAACUUAGCUGCUGCAGAGUUUCAACAGAAUAAUAAUCUAGUAUCUUCUUAGUGCGUGUACUGGGGAUGAAUUUAUAGACAAGGUGAAUCUCAGUUGAUGAGAGUAAGAAAUUCUUCUCUCAGCAAAAUGUUAUAAAAAUGCUCAUUCAGAUAGCUCACUGAUUGUUUACAGACUUACGAAAAUUGUUAAAAAGCGCGUGGAGAUGAAUAAAUAGCUUGUGUGAAUUAUUUUUUAAAGAGAAAAAAUGAAAUCGAUUUCCAGGCCAGUUAUGUAGCCGGUCUAUUUUUUGGGCUAAUAUAAUUGUGGCAGGUGAACUUAGCAAUCACACUUGAAAGUUGCUUUUGUUAUACUAUUUUAAGUAUGUCUCUUUUAAAAUUUGUCUCUUUUCAUUUUCAAGGGAUAUCAAAUGUGCAAAUAUAUUGGUAGAUGCUAGUGGAUCAGUAAAACUUGCGGAUUUUGGGUUGGCAAAGGUAGUUAAUCUCUCCCCUUCUUUGUGAAACUCAUGAAUGCUACUGAAUUUAAUGCAAUAUAUUUGAUCUUUUCAGGCAACUACAAUGAAUGAUCUCAAAUCCUGUAAAGGAACACCAUUCUGGAUGGCCCCUGAGGUUUUCCUCUUCUGUUGUAGUCUGAUUUAUAUAGACAAAAUCUGAUCUAUUUUCUGAAUGUCCAUCAUUCACAAUCGAAUUUGCAUGGUCUAAUGGUUUAACUGAUCUACUUGUUUAUAACCAUUGAUAUCUUGGUCAUUGUCAAAUUUGAGAGCUCUGGGACACAUAAAAUCUAAUUUUUCUUACCUUUUAGCUUGACAUGUUUGCCGCAGUUUUUAGGAGGUUAAUUUUUGAAUUUGACGCUACUGUGUUUUUAUAGCUUGCUUUUGUAUAGUUUUAAAGAUUGCAAAUCAGAUCCUCUACCUUCUUUCAUUUGAGUUUUGAAACAUUAUCUGCUCCCGUUCAUUUGAAGUUGAUGAGAAAAAGCCUCUCUUUAAUGUAGAUGGAGUUAAUACUAGUCCUAUAGUUGGUAUUGGUACACACAUUCAUAAAAAAUUAUCGCCCAGACAUAGGACCAAAAACCUGGAAACUGGCUCAUGGUAAAGAGUAAACAUCUUUUCAUAUAUCAUAUUGACACAUACCGAAUAUGUUUCUAUUAGACAUUUCAGGUUAACAAGAUUAGUUUUGCUUUUUAGGUUGUGAAUUCAAAGAACGACGGCUAUGGACUAACUGCUGAUAUAUGGAGCCUUGGGUGUACUGUGUUGGAGAUGUUAACCCGUCGGCCUCCAUACUCUCACUUGGAAGGCGUACGUAAAAAAAUUUCAUAUAUUAAAAUUGAUUUGCUUUCCCUACUUUUCCAUGUUUAUUUUAUAUGCCUGUUUUUUCUACUUUUCCAUGUUUUAUUUUAUAUGCCUGUUUUUUCUUGUUAAACAUCUUGUGAUUUGUAAAAGGUUGCAUCAGUUUUGAUAUGGUGCUUAGUUGUUGCAUAAUUUUGUGUGUUGGCAGGUGCAAGCAUUAUUCAGGAUAGGCAAGGGUGAGCUUCCUUCAGUUCCCAGCUCAUUAUCGAGAGAUGCCCGGGAUUUUAUUCUUAAAUGCUUACAAGUUAACCCAAAUGAUCGGCCUACUGUAACUGAACUAAUGGUGCAUCCAUUUGUAAAGAGGCCACUGCAAACUUCUAGGUGACUUCUCCUCAUUAUAACAUCAUGCAGUCUUGAAAGUUUGUGAUCAUGCUUUGGGGUUUACGUAUAUCCUAGAGGUAGUCUAGCGGCAUCAUCAAAUUUAAACUGCAACCUGUAGUUGUAGCUUUGACUUCUUGUUUGGACUUAAUAUCAUGGACACUGAAAAUAAUUGUUAAAUACAUUUAUAAACUAUCCAUUUGGGCUUGCAACUUCACUUUUCAAGCUUAUAGGGAACUAAGAAAUGGAGGAGCAAGAUUGUGAUGCAUCCAACUGCCUUGGUGAUCCAAAUUCACCGUAUGAAGGGAAUAAACAAGUUCCUCUAGAUGUUUUAAUGCAACCCCUUCCUGUUGAUAACUGGACAAACCUUGAGAGAUUAUUGCUUUUUAUACUGAUUUGCUUUGAGGUUAACCUACAAGUGGACAUUGUUAUUGUGUCGUUUGGUUCUAUAUAUUUUAGACUUGUGCUACUUUUUUUUAUUUUGCAUGCGUCCUUUGUUUGCAGGUGUGGCCAAGCCAAUUGCUAGUGCUUUUAAGAGAUUUGAGCUGAGGCACAUGUGGUGUUAAUACAAUGCUAAGCAUCUUUUGCCGUUGAAUCUACAUACCAGGCAAUUCUUGGCACGGAGAACAGAGAUGGUGCAUUCUAGGUGAAUAUGCACCAAGCACAACUGCUCAUGGUGUAAAACCGGAGAAACUGAUAUGGUGCACACAUCAGUGGCAUUUAAAUUGCCAGGUUUCCUUCCCUUCGUUCGGGCAAGGUUUUUUCUGUUACGGUUUUCUUUCCUUGGGCAGAGUGUUUUGACAUCAAUUUGGUGUAAUAACUCUUUUUCGAAAGUAAAAGUCAGUGCGUGUGAAAUUUUUAUGUUGCAUUUUAUGGUAAGAUCUCUCAAUAUAUGCUUAUGCAUAGGCUGAGAUGAUGUGUAAAUAUGUAGUUAGAUGCCGAUAUUUUGUGGUCUUGAUAAUCUGGAAUCUUAAAAUGUUGUUGUAAGAAAGCAAAUUGUUAUCAAUUUUUUGAAUAUUUUUCAUACACUACUUCCAGAUGUGGCACAGAGAAAACUGAAAUCUGCUACCUUGGAAAUUUCUUCCGGACGAAGGAUUGUGAAUUUCAGUUUUAGCAGAAAAGAAAUCCCUCUGCCUCUGCUAAGCCACUCAACUGAAGCUUCAAUAAGAGUUUACUCCUUGCAGAUACAAAUUCCAAGUGAUGUUUCACAAAUCAAACCUUUUCCCAGUAAAGCAUCUAUGAGGCUGUUGUAGUAGCUUAUUCCUUCUGGAUUAGGUUCCCCUGUUCCAUCUGUUAAAAGAUAAAUUCAAAAGCAACUAGUAAUUAGUCACAUCUGACAAAGAACUAUGGAAAGGAAAACUCAUGGCCUGUAUUUGUUUUCUUAACUUACUGGGAAAGAUUCUUGGCCAAGAUAUUGAGGAUUUGUAAGCAUCCAUUCCCAAAUACUUCAUCAAAUCUAUUUCACUCUGUAAAGAUUGUGUUUUCACCUUUCAAUUGUUAGCAAGAGACGGAUCAUACUUUUGGAUGACUUGUCAUAUUUUUUUCUUUUUUGACUUUUUCCAUAUUGUCUUCUUCGAAAACCUUUUCAUUUUCUUUUUUAUUUAUUUUUAAUUCUUUUUUUCUUUUAUUUACGGAAACGAGUAAUUCUAUUUUUGCGCAUAAAAUUAUUCGUGGCUGUAUGUUACGUGCAACACAACAAACUUUUUUUUUUCUCCCUAUUAUUUAAUGCUAAUCAAUUACAUUGGCAAAAAUACUCACUUAAAUUGAAUCUUUUUUACACAUACUGAAACACUAGUAGAAGUUUCCAUUAGUAGUAUCACUAAAAUAUAAUUGAACCUUUAGACAUACAGAUUAGUUAAAAAAAAUAAAAUAAAAUAAGAGUAGAUUACUUCACAAUUCUUAAGAUAUUGUAAUACCACAAAGAUAACAAAUUAAAAUAACAAGAGUUCAAUCUCUAAUUUUCUACCAUUUCCAUUCAUGUUAUGAAUUAUUGUUUCAUAUCAUAUUUUUAUUUACUCCUGUGAUUAAAGCAAACUGUAACGAGCAUAUCAAAAUCAUUCGAAUGAAAAAUUAAAAAUAGAAACUCAAGAAAAAAAAUGGAAAAAGAAUGAAACAUUGGAGAGGUUGCAACAAGUGACUGAUCAGGGUCAACAUUCAUAUUAGGAAGCAAACAAAAUGUUCAUGCAUAACAAUUUAAGAAAUAUUAAAGAGCCAAAAAACAAGGUCAUCACAGCUAAUCCAAAUAAUCAAAACCAUAUCUCAAUCCAUAAACAAUGACACGAGAUUACAUAAAAUUUGAGGAAAAAAGAAAAGUGCCACCAAAUUAAGCACUGGAGAGUGGAGAUUGAAAUUGAAAUUGAAAAGCGGAGACGCCAAAUUAAUUUGGCAUCACUUCCAAUUUAUCCAUCACCAUGUAAGUCACCACCCAUUAGUGGUAACUUUUAUCACAAACAUAACACUAAAGACAACACUAUUUUUUUUAUUUACAUAUUAGAUUUUAUAAACAUAGCAUAACAAUACAGAGCAUACUAUAAAUAUAUAGUAUCCAAAGCCGUUCAAAUUAAAUGUUAAAAUGACAGAGUCUGAAAAAAAGAGAAAACGUACAAUUCUAAAAUCUUAAGCUCUAGCGUUACCAAGGAGAACACUUGCCAAAAGAUUCUUGCAUUGCAUCGAUGCCUUCAGCAGCUUUAAACCACAACCAGUAACCACCAUUCAAAGAUUAGGGAAAAAAAAAGAUCCAGAUUAUUAAACAUAUGAUCCCAAGAAUUAAAUCACUAAGAAAACAACUUAAAAAUAUUACCUCAUCAAGGCCAAAAUUGAAAACUUUCUCCUAAAGGUUACCCAGAUCCAUAUCAAACUUUUCAUACAAAGUGACACUAGAGGUCACAUAUUUUUUUUUUUUUUAAAAAAAUGUCCACAGAUUGUGGAUAUUGAAAUAGAUGUUGAAGAGUGGAGACAUGAAAAAUUAGUGUAGAGUGGAGAUUAUAGAACGUUAAGCACUGAUUAAAGAAAAAAAUAAUGGCAGCGAGAGUUGAGAGUAGAGAAAGAGAGAGAGGAAAAUGAAGAAUUUUGGUUAGAGCGGCUAGGGUUUCUCAUGAAGUAAAAUAUGAAGUAUAUAUACUUUUAAUAAAAAAUUAAAAAUUUUCAAUUUUAUAGGUUAAAAACAAAGUAUUGUUAAAUAUUCCAUUUAGCGGGAGUUUUGCCUGCCUAAAUGAAAAAUUGUUCAUUUCAUUUUAAUUUACUUAUGUUAGUAAAUUAAUUUGAUAUAAUUAUACUUAUUUUAUAAUUUGUAUUCUAAAUGCUACUUAUUUUUUUAUUGUUAUAUUUCAGUGACACUUGAUUUAUUACUAAGAAAAUUGUAAUUGUGUCAUGCUUAAAAUAUAUAAUGGUAAAUAUAAUAAACACAACAUUAUUUAGUUGUAUUCAAAUUAUAGUUUUUCUUGUGGGUGCCACCUGAUUAAGGGUUGGAACUAUGCUCACAUAGAUGAGGAGGAAAUUGAUUGUUACUAUACUGAGGAAUAAGAAAUAAUUAUUAUCUAUGUUACAUUGUAAUUACAUUAUGAAUUUAGGUCGUUACAAUCAUGGGGUAUAAUUAUCUAAAAACAUGUAUAUAUAAUCAUUUAUAAAAAUUUGGCGUAUGUCCCAAGUUAAAUCAUGUGGAAGGUUCUUUUUUUUUUUUUUUUUUGGAAAGAAAGUACACCUUUAAUUGAAUUAAGAGAAAAGCACUUUUUUAAAGCCAACUUUGCCAAAUCAUGCGCUAAAAAAUUACACAUCCUAGGGACGUGCUGAGCUUUAAAAUUCUAAAAGAUUUUCUUGGCUUCUAAAAUGUCAAAAAUCACUCAAAAGGUCUCUGUCAAAGUGCUUCUCUUGUUAUUGAUUAGCUCUAUCACCCCUUUAGAAUCAGACUCUAAGAUAACUGAGGUUGCCCCUGCCUUGGCAGCUGCCUGCAUUCCCCACAAAAUAGCUUUUGCCUCACUCAACUCCACAUCUCCUGAGCUCUUAAAUGUGCUGACAGCUGCAACAACUGUUUCUCCCUUAUGGUUUUUAACUAUUGCUCCCAGCCCAACAAGAUAAUUCACCUUAUCCAUAGCAGCAUCAACAUUUACCUUAAGCCAUCCUUCUUUGGGUGGACUCCAUUGGCUUUGCUGAACAUUGUUUUGAUCUGUUAAGAAAUUCUCUUCUAGUUACUUUAUUCUUUUGACAGAUUCAGCAACUGUAACAGCUUUAGCCAUCAAUAUUACCGGGUCAUCAUAUUUUCCUUUGAAAAUGAGAUUAUUUCUAGCACUCCAAAUAAUCCACAAUAAAGAAGCUACCAGUUCACCACUCAUAUUCUUUUGCUGAAAAUGUGCAGAAUGCAAAGGGUAAUGACAUCUGGAAAAUUAGCCCCUUGAAGGACACUUCCCAGAGGUGAGUUUUUCCAAACCUUUCUAGCGAUUUUGCAGUCCACAAGAGCAUGAACUGUAUUCUCCCACCCACUCCUACACACUGGGCAGAUGGCCUCCUGCAUCACUCUUUUCUUCCAUAGGUUUUCUGCUGCAGGCAAGAUAUUCUUGGCUACUCUCCAAAGAAAAAUCUUUACUUUUUCAGGAAUCUUCAGCUUCCAUAUGACGUUCCACUGGCUUGGGUUCGGGUUGGAGCAGCUAGGAAUGCCUUUUGGCUUUUGUCCUAACGCCACUUGAUAGCCACUCUUCACCAGGUAUUGACCUCUCUUAUCAUAGUGCCAAAACAGAAUAUCCUCACUCUGCCUUCUCAGUAAAGGGAUUUGCACAGUGAGAUCUGCACCAUCUUUGCCAAAACAUUGAUAUAUGAUAUGUUCAUUUCAACACCUAUUUCCAUCAAUCAACUCAGGAACACAAGUUCCACUGGGCAGAUUUGGAGGGGUUGUGGGCUUAAAGGUUGUCGGCCUAGGGAUCCAGCUACUGUUAAAAAUAUUUAUAUGCUUUCCAUCCCCAAUUCUCCAUCUACACCCUUUUUUCAGCACCUCUCUUCCCCAUAAUAUACUUCUCCAAAUGUAGGAGGGUUUAGAGCUCAAACUAGCUUCAACGAAGGAUGAGUGCUUAAAGUACUUUGCUUUCAAAACUCGAGCCACUAGUGAAUCCGAGGCUUGAAUGAGUCUCCACCCUUGCUUUGCAACUAGAGCUUGAUUAAAACAUGAGAGGUCCUUAAAGCCCAAACCUCCUCUAAUUUUAGCUUGAUUCAAGUUUUCCCAUCUUGACCAAUGAAUACUUCUCUUCUCUUUAGUCGAACCCCACCAAAAUUUUGCUAUCGCUCCUAACAUAUCAUUACACAAACCCAAAGGUUCUUGUGGAAGGUGGAAGGUUCUUGCUCCUUGCUCCUUGCUCCUUGCAUAUUCAUCUUGACCAAUGAAUACUGCUCUUUGCUCCUUGCAUAUCAUUAGCUAUCGCUCCUUGAGGGGUCGUGGAAGGUUCUUGUUAACAAUUAUAUUUGGGCUCUCACAUGCCCCACCUUUAAAACACUGUAUUAUCUAUUGCAUGCACGCGCAUCCACAACAUAAAGCAAACUCAUUCUAUAAUGACAGUAAUAAAAUUUAAAAAUUAAGAUCUUGAAGUGAUUGUGGAGAAAAAUUUACAUAGAUCAAUCCUAGAGAGUAGGUUAAUCAUUGAUGUUCUCUUAUUUAACAGAGCAGUGGGUUCUAUAAAUUUUUAAUAUUAAAUUUUGAUAGUUGUAAGUUGGAACCAACUUGUUGAGAUCUCAAUAGUACUCACUUGUGAUCCCAUAAUCGGACCUACUGAAGUGGUAGGACUAACUUAUCGAAGUCUUUUUGGAAUUGCCAUGUUCAUGUGGCAAAAGAUGCCACGAAUCAACUGGCAAACACCACCAAGUCAGCGGGUGAUCCAAAAUCACCUGGUAUUGGAGAUGUUAACCCAUUGUCCUCUAUACUCUGGCUUGGAAUAGGUACGAAACACAUUAUCGUAUAUUCAAAUUGAUUUAAUUUCCCCAAUUUUGCAUGUUUUAUAUGCAAGUUUGUUCAUAUUAAACAUCUUGUGAUUUAUGAAAGUUGGCAUCAGUUUUGAUAUGGCAUUUAGAUUUUGCUUAAUUUUGUGUGUUGGCAGGUGCAGACAUUAUUCAAGAUAGCCAGGGGUGAACUUCCUCCAAUUCGUGACUCAGUAUCGAGGGAUGCCCGAGAUUUUAUUCUUAAAUACUUACAAGUCAACCCUAAUGAUCGGCCUAUUGCAGCUCAACUAAUGGAGCAUCCAUUUGUAAAGAGGCAGUUGCCAACUUCUUGGGGACUGCCUCUCCUCAUCAUUUCAUCAUGCAGUCUUGAAAGCUUAUGAUUAUCCUCUGGGUUUCAUGUAUAGGUAAUCUAUCAUGACCCAAUUUAGGGCUUGUUUGGUAUUGUUGUAGGGUGGUUGUAGGUUCUAAGUCAAAUUGAAUUUCUCCCAUGGUUGUUGUUUGGUAACGGAAAAAGGAGAAAAAAAUAGAGAGUGGAGGCAUUACUUUUAUCUCAUCCUUAACUUCCGUAAGUGAAGGAGAACAAAGGGGGAAAAGAGGGGAGUGGGGUGUUACCUUAAAAGGAUGAUUUAUUCAUUUUUUGGGGGGGCUCCAGGGCAUUUUUUCCUCUCUUCCUCUCAUGGAAAAUCCUUUUUUUUACACUAUUUCAUUUUUCUGCAAAUUACUUAAAAAUCUUUUGGUUUUUAAGGCAAUGUUUAUUAAGCCAUAUGAGUGGUGGCACAAGUUUUUUGGCAAAGGCCCAGAAACUGACUUGAACAUCGGAGGGUUCACGCCGGAAAAACUUUUGGCGCCUCUGACCGUCUUCUAUGAUUUCAGGUAUUCGCAGCUUAAUCGCUAGUGGUUGCAGGACAUCUUGACGAUUGACCAAUCGAUUCUCUACCAAAUAAAUCUAAUGCUGAUGCGGGAGUCUGGUAUCAAGUCGCUAACCGACUCAAUCGGAUUUCGGCAUCAAUAGUUGUUUGAUGAAAAACUUAUAAUACAUACACUAAUUUUGUGAAAAAUAUAAUUUAUGAAUCAUAUUAUUUAAACACAAUCAACUUCUAUAUCAUAAAUGCAUAUACAACACCAA